RNAcentral lists this long non-coding RNA (79305 nucleotides) under Linum usitatissimum (flax). Its description in RNAcentral is "long non-coding RNA (LUSI_LNC004583)". Lineage: Eukaryota; Viridiplantae; Streptophyta; Magnoliopsida; Malpighiales; Linaceae. The record is from RNAcentral.
UUAAAAUAUCUUAAGUCGAUAGGUCGUUUUUCUAAGGAAGGAAAUUUGAAUGAAAAAUAUCAUUCAAUGAUAUUUUCAUGACAAAAAAUAAUACUUUGUACCUCAAAUAUGGUAAUAUUAGAUAUCAAUAUUAUCCAAUAUUAUAUUAUUUAUACAAAAAAUAAAUAAAUAAUACCAUUUGGAAAAAUUCAAAAUUAAUUGGAUUAUGUACCUAAUUUUUCAUUACCAAAAAAAAAUUGUACGUAAUUUGUACUUUCCAAAUACUCUAACUUUCCUAAACAAUGAAUUGAAUUGAAACAAGUGCCUUAAAGAGAGAAAGACAUACACAGAGCUCUCACGGUUUAACCUGAUUGAGUCGAAUUCUCAGACCAGUUGGGUCGAAUUCUUACAACACUGAUAAAUACCCCAGCCCCCAUAUCUCAAUUCCUUCAGGGUAAGUUAGCUUUGCACUAACCGUCCCCAUUAAAAAUUUAACUUUCUUUCAUACUCAGUCUACAUUCACUACUACUUCUCCGGCCAAGUAUCACCAACCCCUCUCCACCGUCCGUACGUCCCCCGCCGCCGCCAUGGAAUUCCUCCAACCCAUCCUCUACCUAAUUAUCCCUCUCCUCCUCCUCCUCAUCGCCAGCCGCAGUCGUAGUAGCCGCCUCCCUCUCCCGCCGGGUCCCAAUGGGCUCCCGAUCAUUGGCAACAUGCUGAUGAUGGACCAGCUCACCCACCGUGGGCUGGCCCAGCUGGCAAAGAAGUACGGAGGAAUAUUCCACCUCAAGAUGGGCACCAGCGUCCACGUCAUCGCCGUCUCUUCCCCUGAAGUCGCCCGUGAGGUCCUCCAGGUCCACGACAGCAUCUUCUCCAACCGCCCAGUCAACGCCGCCAUAGCCUACCUAACCUACGACCGCUCCGACAUGGCCUUCGCCAACUACGGGCCCUUCUGGCGGCAGAUGCGCAAGAUCUGCGUCAUGAAGCUCUUCAGCCGCAAGCGGGCGGAAUCGUGGGACUCAGUCCGUGACGAGGUCGACUCCAUGGUCCAGACCGUUAAGGUCAACGCUGGCCGAGCGUUGAACGUCGGGGAGCUGAUUUUCACGUUGACCAUGAACAUUACUUACAGGGCGGCGUUCGGGUGCAAGAACGAAGGACAGGAUGAGUUUAUUAAGAUACUUCAGGAGUUCUCCAAGCUUUUUGGGGCUUUUAAUAUUGCCGAUUUUAUCCCUUGCCUCGGCUGGAUGGACCCACAGGGUCUUAAGUCCAGGCUUGUGAAGGCUAGGGGUGAUUUGGACAAAUUUAUUGAUCAAAUCAUGGAGGAGCAUAUCGAGAAGAGGAGGCUAAACGGCGGCGUACAGGCUGACCAUGCUAUCUCUGACAUGGUUGAUGACUUGCUUGCUUUCUAUAGCGAAGAUCAAGACGCCGGUAAAGUUUGGGACUCCGACUCUCUUAAACUCACCAAGGAUAACAUCAAAGCCCUCAUCAUGGUAAUUAACCAAUUCUUCAUUGAUUGAGCUCACAUUUGUAAUUAAGUGAUUUCAUUUCUUUAAAAAUGGUUUCCGUUUUUUCCAUGGUAAACAAUUCCUCAAUAAGCUUAAAUUUGCAUUUAAGGGUUGUUUAGUUUUGAAUUUAAUUAAAAUUAUUUGAAUUAAUAUCUAGAAAUUUAAAUUAAUUAAAAUCACCUAAAUUUAUGAAAUUACUCAUCAAAUAUUCUCCAAAUAUAAAAAAAAACGACUAUGUGAUUAUUUAAUUUUUUAAUAAUUUUACUUUAGACAAAAAAAACAAGUGAGAUGGAAUCACUCCAUGGUAGAGUUGUGUGUUUGGUUAUUUGGAGAGUUCUGGAUUUGAAUCCAACAUAUCUUACAAAAUGAAUACGAAUAUAAUAUUUAUUUAAUUUUUUUUAUUUUUAUUAACGGAGAGUACCUAUCUAUUUAUAAAAAAUCUAAUUUUUUGAGUGGACAAGCAGACUUAAAUUACAGUUAAAUGCUGUCAAAGUAUACGGAAAGAGUCGUUACAGUAAACUAGGACAAUUUUGGCCACUUAUACUGUAUGAAGAGCCCCGAUGAUCUACGACGGGUCCAGGAAGAGCUGGAGGAGGUCGUGGGACUGGACCGCCUGGUGGAAGAGUGCGACUUCGAGAAGCUGACCUUCCUCAAGUGCGUGUUGAAGGAGACGCUUCGCCUCCACCCGCCGAUUCCUCUCCUCCUCCAUGAGACGGCGGAGGAUGCUGAGGUGUCCGGCUACUUCAUCCCCAAGAGGUCAAGGGUCAUGGUCAACGCUUUCGCGAUCGGACGAGACCCGAACUCGUGGUCUGACCCGGAUUCUUUCAACCCGGCUAGGUUUUUGAAGGAUGGGAUGCCCGAUUUCAAAGGUGGUAAUUUCGAGUUCCUGCCGUUCGGGUCGGGUCGGAGGUCGUGCCCAGGGAUGCAGCUUGGAUUGUAUGCGCUGGAGCUAGGGGUGGCCCACCUGCUACACUGUUUCAAGUGGGAGUUGCCAGAUGGGAUGAAGCCGAGUGACGUGGAUAUGAGCGAUGUUUUUGGACUUACCGCGCCACGCGCAACACGACUCAUCGCUGUACCAAGCCUGAAAUUGGCGUGUCCCUUGUAAAUGCAUGCACAAAGUAAACAGGAAGAAAGGAGGAGAGUCAAAACGACGACGAGCUGAUCGUUGAAUUUGAUUCUCGUUUACAUGUGAUUUCAAUCCUUUUGUUUCUUGUUUUUGUGGGGGUUUUUAUUUAAUUUCUUUCUCUCUAAAAAUAUCAACGAUGGAAAUAAUGGAUCCUACAGAGGGAAAAUUAAUAAUAAGGAUUUUUUUUUUGGUAAAAAGGAAAAAUAUUUGGUCAUGAAUCUUUUAUUUUCAUUAUCUUGCUGUAUAAGAAAUAUCAAUGUGAAGAAAUGUUUCAACAAUUAAGCUCAUACGUCAUAGAUUCAAUUUUUUUGUUAGAAAUACAUCAUAGAUUCAUAGUUAUACAAUACAAAUAGCAUGCGAUUAAUUUCUUAAUUAAUAAUUAAUACCUUAUUAACAAUACCAAUCACUACGUAAUGACAAUCUAAAAUAUUUUCCUCAACGACCUAGUUAGUGCAUUGCGUAUGCUCUAGUGUAGGAAUUCAAUAUUAGCAGAAGCAAAUUGUUACGAAAUAACGGAUGGAUGUGUGUAGGGGCACUCGCACGUUCGUAAACGGUUACUCCCACCACUACAAGAAAAUAUACCAGUAGUGACCAUAUAAAGGGACCGUAACAAAUUACCGUCACUAUAUAUACAAAUCUGGUCACUAAAGGCACUCGCAUAUUUAAGAAUUCCCGCUCAUCAGCGAAGCGGUCCCCAAUAGAAAAUGACGGAUCAAGUUGUAAUUUGCCACUGAUAUAAUGUGUUCUUAAGAGUUAAAAAUGUAUUUUGUAAUUGUGAAACCCUUUCUCCAAAGAAAAUUAGAAACUUCUUCAAAGUUCAAAACUUUCAUCUUACCCGAUAUCUAUUGAACUUUUGGGAUUAGGGUUUGUUCUUUGUUAUAUUGUUGUCUCGUCCCUCUUUGAUUGAUAGCUAAUAGUGAUGCUAUUCGCCACUUUUCAAGGCUUUGUUUCCGGCUUUCUGCCCAAACAAGUUUGCUCGCCGAUAAGUGCUGAAUUUGUGAUUCAUCAAGCUUUUACCGCCAUGCCAUUCACCAAGAUGUUUCCACUGUGUGCACACUUGCAUGCUUUACUCACAGUUCGGCAUGGGACACUUGCACUUUAAGCGUAGUUUCACUCGCACCUUGACAUUAUACUUCCACUUACAUAUUCGCGCAGAGACACUUAAAACUUGACAAAAGCAAGGGGCGGAUCAGGGGGAGGCAGGGGCCGCCACGGCUCAGGGCAAUUUUGGCCUUGAGCCGUAAAUUUAAAUAUAUAUUUAUGAUUUUUUUGAAUUUGCCUCGGGGGAAUUUUAAAUUCGAUUUAGUGUUAAGAUGUUUUUGCUCAGUACUUGAUACAUAGUAAUCAUAAUUUUAGCUAAAUACUUGAAUUUACUAUUACUUGAUUUGAAAAAAUUGCCAGUGACUAGGACAACUUACUUUAACUAAAAAUAACACCUCGAAUUUUUUUUUUAAAUUAUUUUAACUUAGUAUUAUAUUUAAAAAAAUAUUUUUGAAAAAUGGUUACUCAUCAGACAAUACACAAAAAUCGAUUCAAAUCCGGCUCAGUGCACAUUUCCAUCUUGAAUCCGCCAUUGGAUAUAAGUUCACUCACACCUUAAUAUAGGGACAUUCGCACUCUAACAUAGUUGUACUCAUAUAUAUCUCGACAUAAUGAAUUCAAUUAACAUUCGAUUAAAUCCAAAUGUUAAUGAAUUCAAUUAAUAUUCGAUUAAAUCCAAAUGUGGGAUUCAAAAUCAAUACUUUAAGCAGUAGUUCCAAACAUCACCUUGUUUUGAGCUGAAGAAAUAUUACAUGAAUCCCAAACGCAAAUCACAAAUGAUCACCAUUCCAUUCAUCCACAUACCAACAAUAAUAUUAUUAUUAUUAUUAUUAUUAUUUCGAAAGAACAAUAUUAUUUUCAAAAAUACGAAACUAAAAAAUGAUUUGAAAAUAUUGAGCUUCGGUCUCUGUCACUCCACAUCUCAACCACCACCACCACCACCAUUUCUUACUCCAACCCCCGUGAUCAUCAUUUUAUUACAAAUGAUUCCUUGUCUUCUCCACGGUACGUUGUCGUUUCAUCUUUGUACCCUCCCAUAGCAAGUCCGAGCUCGAAUUAAUUUGCCAGCUCUUCGUUUUCUCCACAAGAAUUCCUCAGCCAAAUCAAUGGCGUCAAUGCCUCACGCCAGCUUUUUCAGUAGACGUGGACAAUCCACAACUUCAUAUUUCAACAUUUCAAAUAAUAAUAAAAUCUUCAUAUUUUUUUGCACAAAAGAAAUAAUUUGAUGGGCACCGUUCGUCAGAUAAUUAAAUUUUUGAACAAUCCAUGUGAGACCGAUAAUACUAUCAACAAAAGUGUCGGAAUAAUUAUACAUUCUGACUUUAAACCUAAAAUCUCUAAAAAUAAAAUAAAAAAUUAUAAUCAUUAUAAUUUAUUUAGCAAAAAAAAAAAGUUCAUAUUUAAAAAAGUACAUGGAUGCCCUUUUAUUACGUGGCCACUCAUAUAGAUUCCCCAUAAAUGUAUACAUUGUUGACGUAAUUGCAUGGGGCAGAAGAAAUGGCAUGUGCCUGUUGCUGCUAUUUUGACAAUUUACUUAUUUUUUCUGUAAAGAAUUUUAAAUGUUUUCACGUUUUGGUAUCGGGAUUUAGGUAGACAAUGAUUUCAAUUUGUAAAAUAUUUGGUUUCUUUUCUUUCGAAAUUUCUAACUCCUGUUUUAAUAUUACUACUAUUGUUCAUAAAAUAAAACUAGUCUAUAUAUUUCUGUAUAUUAGGACACUCUUUAUAUAACUUAUACACAAGUAGAAGAGAGACUUAUGGAUGUGGUUUGGUGGCAGAAAAAUCUAGAUGCAUGGAUGAAGGGUUACAAUCCAACUGAUGAUGUGUAUAUAUCUUGGUGGAGCCGACAAGAAAUUAAGGUGUCCCACACCCUUCUCAAUCAAUGAUUCGUUCCGCGGUGAGAAUAUAGAAUGAAAUUUCAACGCUUUCAUACUAAAACUAAAAAUUAAAAUUCCAACAAAAUAUAUUUUAAAAGUUUACAUUUUGAUUCUCAUCCACGUUUCAUUUNNNNNNNNNNNNNNNNNNNNNNNNNNNNNNNNNNNNNNNNNNNNNNNNNNNNNNNNNNNNNNNNGAAUUAGCUCAUGAGCAUAGCAUAUAUACAAAUAAUAAUAUAUUAAUUGUUGAGAUUUGCAAUGAUGAAUUGUAUAUUUAUUUUAAAAAAAUUAACAAAUCAAACAACCAUUCAAACAAGUAGGCGCUAGCUCCUGGGAUUCUGAAAUUUGUAUUCUUUGUGUUGUGCUAAUUGGAGUAUGUAAGUAUUAUUAAUAUUGAUGCUAACUAGGAGCACUUAAUUGCCACUGGAUCAAAUGUAUCAAAAUCUUUGACUCACAACUUUUUCUUUAUUAUAUAUUUGGGUUGUUGUACUUGUACUUUUCUUCCUUUUCAUUAGCUUACGCUAUGCUGCAUGGCCUUUAAUAUGAGCUAGUAUGCCACUCUACUCAUCUGCAAAUAUAAAGUGAUUAAUAUGUAUAAUAAUAAUAAUAAUAAUAUAAAACCAUGGUUAUGUCAAGAACCACCAUAACAUAACAUGUUUACACAAUUUAUUAACAAGCUUUCAAGGUUUUCAGAAGAGGUGAGGUUUGUACAAUUUUACGCAGUAAGUUAUGUGCAGGAAUGGGGGCUAACGGGAUUCGGAAAGGAGACCUCUCGAUCUGUUAGGCUCUGAUACCAAGUAAAAAACCGUUGCAUUCCAAUAACUCGAGUUGUUGAAAAAGGAUUUUGAUUGAUUUUAUGGGUCGUUCGGGUAGGUGAUUUUGACAGGUGAUUUGGACAUGCAAAGAGAUUUUGUCUCAACAACAUCAAAAAGAGAAGAGAUUUGAGGAUAUUUGAAAUCACCUUGUGGGUCCGGAGAGAAUUUCAUGGGCGAUUUCAAAUCACUCUAGAAAGGUAGAGAUUUCGAAGAAAAAAGGGGAGAUUUGAAAAUUUUAACCAAAAUUUCCCGUUAUUUUGUUUGAUAAUUAAUAUCACCAUAAAUAAAUUGAAGGCAUAUUUAUAUGUUUAUUUCUAUUUAUUUCUGUUGAUGAAAACAAAUAAUUGGAAGAGUUGAUAUACUUUUGUGGUCAGCACUCAGCAUUGAUCAGCUAGCAUUAUAUCAUUCCCAGUUGAGACGGCAAAGGCAAGCAAACUGGCAAGGAUAAAUAAAAACUCAUUGUUUCAUGACAAACAACAACAGUCUGGCUAGAGCUAGCUGGCUGGUUUGAGUAUGACUAAAAUCAGCUGCACAGUAAUUUAAUACAGACGCAAAAAUUGUAAUGAUGAGUGCUUUGCCUAUAUAGGACUCUGGUAAUUAAUUAAGGGCUAAUGAUGGCACAGCAGAUGUCAUAUAUGGAUGGCCUUUCUAUUAUCUUGGUUGCAAUUAAUAAUCGAUUUUCGGGGCUGUACUGGUAAUCCCUGCAACUGAUGGGAUAAGAUUAUAGUCUGAGAAAUUGAGAAAUAAUAUAUAUGGGUGAGAGAUGACAUCUCAUUUUCAAUCCAUCUUAAUUACUCAACAUAUCGAAUAUGACUUCCCCCCUCGCCUUUUGAAUCCUCAACAUCAACUCCAUGUUUCAAAUAACUACAAUUUCAAGAAAUAGCAAGCGGAUACAAUCUAUGAGUCGGCUCAAGCAGCAGUACUGAGAUCGAUGUCCACAACGUAUUUGAGAAAUGUUAAUGAGCAAUGUCACGCGCCAUUGAGCGGCCAGCUCCGUUAGUAGACCGGCCGAUCGAGCAACCUGUACAUGGAGACGAGGACCACGUAGUCGGGAAAGCUAGGACUUCUGAUGAUGGCAUGACAUCGCCAGCUGAUCCACAAUGAUUACUCCGGUGAGAAAAUCAAGAGAGAACCACAUCAAUAUUGCCCUUGGUAUCUACCUGCCAAAUAUCAUAUAGAAAACAUCAAUCGCAAACAUUACAAACAACGAGGAGCUCCAAUACAUAAUUAUAUUAUAAAGACAUGAAUAUAUUGAUCCCACUUUAUAUAAAAAUAUGAAAAGCCAAAGAACUAAAAUGGACCAUACAAAGGAAAAUCCAAAAGGCACCAAAAGAAGCCAGGCAUGAACUCUGGUGUAGCGUGGGCUCCCAACUUGCAAACGAUUCGACCCACCUAUUUUAAGUAUUUAUUUUUGUAUUUAAUUAUUUAUAGCAUUUCAGUUAUAAAAGUUGACGAGACUGAUAUAUGGUCAAAAAACAAGAGCCAGCUGAUUAAAUAAAGGGACGACGUAGAGAUGUUGAAUUUAGUAGUAGCACAUGAUGCAUGUCAAAGUGACUUUCCCUGUAAAAAAGUCAAAGUUUAACAACGCUACGAUCGACGACUAUGUCAGCCUGACGUCUGUGCUUAUAAUAAACCAACAAUUUUUCUUCUCCAAAUUACCAACCAUAAUUAUUAGUGACCACCCACGUUGCCAGACUUCAAAGAUGCAGAAUUUAUGGGCUGAAAGGGACGGAGAGAUAAUAGCCCAUGUCUGUUGGAGAAUUCAAAAGGUGGGCCUACUUUACAUACUUCUGGAGUUCUGGGCCCAUAAUGCCGUUGCUCGCUCAUCGUUGAUUUUCAUUUUAUUUCGAGUAGAGUGGAACUCUAAUCGAUAGGGUGAAUAUUGGGUGGGUUAGAGGUGUGGUGAUAAAACCAACUUACUCGCUAUUUGAUGGAUUAUUUUUUGUAGACUUACACCCACUCGAUUAGUAACGGUGGGUGAUUGUUGGUGAGUAAUAACGGAUGAUGGGUGGAUUUGGGUGGGUUAGGUGGAUUAAUAUAAACUCUACUAACACAUGAAAUCAUAUUAGUUUUUGACAAAAAUAAGAUAGUUGUGACUCACUUUUCAUCACUUAUGAACCUUAAUGUAUUCUCAAAACUAAAUAAUACAAAUCAUUAAAGUAAAAGUAGUAUUGUCCAAAAAAUUUAUAAGGAAAGAUUUUUUUUAAUAUUUGUGCUAGAAAGAUUAAAAAUAAUAGGAAAAUUGUAGGUUUCGUCCAUUAAUAUAUUAGAUUGGUGGGUUAGACGGGUAACCACAACCCAACCCAAAUCCAAACAUAUUAGAUUACGUUACGACGAGUGAGUUUAAUGGGUAACCCAAACCAAUACUUACCCCUAUUAAUUGGCUUGUUAAUCCGAAACUAAUACAUUAAUAUUAAACAUGGUGAAAUCACGUUCGGAAAGUUAUUCUUGAGACAGACAGUCUUAUAGCUUGCCAAGCCAUUGCCCCAUUGCUCUGAUAAUUUGUGGGAUGAUGUUACUGAGAAGGGUUAUUUUGCUCGCUAGUUUUUUUCGUUCUUGUCAUGUGAUCUACUUUGUAAGUGACUUUUUUUUGCAUAAAAAAGUUAAAGAAUCGAGUUGUCUACGAAUUUGCUUGUCACAUAAUGAUUUUUGUGCAUGGGGACGGUUAGAAAUACAAAGAGAUUAUUGGAAAAAUCCAGUAACAUUUCCUUUGUCGAUUCUAGUCAUGUUGUAUAUUGAAGAGAAAAUCAAAGGAAAAUGGGUAGGUUGACCGGUUGGGACUCAACUCAGGUUUGGUAAUUAUGGAAAAACAUAUACCCAACUUCCAACCCUAGUUAAAAAGAGUAGUGGUUAUCAGCUUGGCUCGGCAUUCAGUAGUCAGUAGGCCAAGUUAAUUUUUCGGGUCCACCCGAUUUAAAUAACUAUAUACCUGUAAUAUGAUUUUACGGGUCAUCCAUAUUUGAAUGAUGUAUUUUGGUUUAAAUAAUUCAAAUUAAGUUAUUUAGGUCAAAAUAUAUUGUUUCCUAUCCAAAAUAAAAAUCAUGGUAUUUGAAAUAAUUCGCAUCGAUGUAUUACAAAUAUUUAGUUAUAAAUGUGGAAUUUGAGAUAACUCAAUUCAAAGCUAUCAAAAUUCAUAAAUUAUUACUAUUUUAUCAACCAAAUAAGAUAAUUCUUACACCUGAAAUGUUUUAAACCUAAAAAAUACCUCAUUUUUAAAUAAUAUCAUUUUGCUCUAAAAUAUUUCAUCAAAACAAACCAAAAACUUAGGCACCAAGUUGUAGGAAUGGUUGUGCCGCCUGGAUACGGUUUUUUUCCAUAAUGAUAAUUUCGUGAGAGUAAAAGGAUAUUUAGAUAAAAAAUAAUAAAAUUUAAAUCUCUAUCUAAAGAAUAAGAAUUACUAACAACUCUCCAGGAAAAAAAAUUAAAAGCCAAGCUUACCACAAAAUACACGACUCUACUGGCAAAAUGGUGGACAAUCCGAAGAAAUUAAAGAGCCCAAGCCAUCAAAUAUUUAGUCCAUUUUGUUAGGAUGCUGCUUUGAAAUUAACCUCUAUAAGAAAGUCUGCAUAAUGUCUAGUCAAGUUCGAACCAACCAUAUAAUUUUUUAUUCCUUUUCNNNNNNNNNNNNNNNNNNNNNNNNNNNNNNNNNNNNNNNNNNNNAAAACUAUGUAAGACCAGAUAGAAAAUAAUUAUCAAAAUAUUUUAAAUUAAAAAGAUUGGUAGGUAUAUACAUAAUCAUGGACUAGAUUGUUAAUCUGUGACCAAAGAUUCACAAAUUCUUUACUAGUUAGUUGGGGACCAUCCACACAAGCAGAGAAGAGACGAGCAAUGGCCUUUUAACACCAAUAAAAAAACAAGGCAAAUGCUAAUGUUUGUCUAACAUUAAAUAUUUGUUUGUCAGAGUAAAUUAAAAUUCUCAGUAAUAUAAAAUAAAAAAUAAUAAAUAAAUAUUAUAUUAAUGUUCAUUUUGUAUGAUUGUGUUAGAUUUAAAUUCAAAAUCUCCACAUCAUCAGAUAUACUAUUUUAUCAUCGAAAUAACUCCACUAAAACUCGUAUAUAGAGCAUUAGUUAAUUACAUCAAGAUGCGAACGACAGCAAGACCCACGGCAGAAAUGGAGAACAAAGUGCCGACGAAGUACUUUGUCAUAUCGUAUUUCGCUGCUUCCCAUUGGGCCUUCUGUGAAUGCAACUCCUGCCAAAAGCCCAAGCCCAAAACCAUCCCCACAGCCCUUUAGUCUUAUUGUGGAAAAAGAAAAAACUAAAAAGUAUUUCAAUGAAAUAUAGUAGUCACCCACCCGGUCAAACUUGUUAUCCAGGUUAGUGAUUUGAGUACUUUGAUGUGCCAUGUCAUCACGUAACCUCCUGCAACAACACAAUUUCAUUCAUCAUCGGCCACAAUUUUAUUUUAAAAAAAGGAGUGAUGAAAAUUGUCACAAUUACCCUUUCUCAAGGUUCCAAUCGAGUCGUUGACCGGCAUUGACCUUGUCUAUUUCAUGUUUGAGGUUGCUUCGGGUCUUGUCAAUGUCAUUUUGUGUUUUCUCUGUGCUCUUCUCAAUCGCAUUGUGCAUCUUCUCCGCCUCAUGUUGGAACAAUGAGAAAUGAUGUUCCUGUCUGGUUUGAAUUUCCGUUUUGAACUUACACAGGUUCGUUUCUUGGAUCAUCUCCGUCUAUAUACAUAGCAAACGAAUUAAUUAGUUAUAUAUACAUAAGGGAAUCGUAUUAAUGGAUGUAAACGUUUGAUUACGAACCCUCUGCAUUUCGGCCUUGGAAACAACUAACUGCGUCAUAUUUACAAAGCUAUCAUUCAAGACCUUCGUCAUCGCGGCGGUUAUCACUUCCGCUUGCUUCGACGGCACUCCUCCCUCCUCUAACAUCCGCGCCUGUAAUUCAAAUCAAAGGAAGAACAUUCACAAUUAAAGAAAACCAAAAACUAGGACCAAUGUAGAAUUUGAAAAUGGAGAGAUGAAGUAGUACUAACAAGUGCUAAUGUGUCGACGAGGAACACGUGAUUUCCGUUGGCUUUAACCAGAUCGGAUAUCUUCCGGUUAUAACCACCGAAGCGGUUGCAGAAUUUACUUUCUACCGGUGGAAAACUGCCAGACACAGCGGCACCAAAUCUAAAUCCUCCGUUUCUACUAAUCAUCCCUAAUUGGCCGACACGCCUACAAACAACGGCUACAGCCAUCGUAUUAAUUCUUCAAAAAACAAAAAAAAAAACGGUCCUAGUUUUGAUUUCACAGAUUGCACGCUCUCUGUGCCUUCCUUGGUCUAUAGUUUAGGCAGCAAGGCGCAGGAGAUUGAGACCAGGACUGCGAGGAAGACGAAGAACACGAAGGCCUGCAUAUCCUGUUUAUGCUAAUUGAAUUAUUGAUUGGUUGUUGUUUCUUUCCCCUCUCUCCAAUUCGUAUGAAAGAAGAGAGUAAUUUUUGGAUUAACGAGAAAGGGAGGGGAAGGAAAUGGGAUGAGAUUCGCCAUUUUUUGUUUCUUUAUAGCCAUUGGGUAUAAGAUAAAUUUAGAGAGGAUUCAUGGAUGGCGGGAAUUCGCGGGAGCGGAGGCGUUGAAUACAAGAGACCACCCCCGCACGUUUCCCAAGAAAAAACCCGUGAAAUCCGUUUUUUGAAUCUGGUUAACCAUUCGAUUGAGCCCAGCCCAUGUAAUCCUUACUACGGGCCUUUAGCCCCAUCACAAUUAAGCCUGCUUGGCCCAUCCAUAACAUAAUACGGUGUAGACAAAAUAAAUAUUACAUUAGUAUUUGUUUAUGAAAUAAUUUACAUUCAAAUUUAAUAUACUCAAAUUGUUAAUACACAACUCUAUUACCAGAGUAAUUCUACACAGAUCAUCUAGUGUAAUACUUAUUCUUGGUGCACAGAGCUAUGUUUUGUAGAGAAUAAAAAGUUUUUUGCUUAAGAGUUUUUUGUCUAAGAGUUAUCAGACCAAUGAACGAGUAAGGCAGUAUCUAAUAUUAACACAGCGAGGAUAAAGCUAACAAACACACUUUUUUCAUGGCGAGAAGUCGAAUUUCUCAAAUAUUUUUAGAGAAAUUAGAAAUUUCGAAAAUAUAAGCAGUAAAAAAACAUGUAUUUACGAAAUACAAAAAUUGUACAUCAUUACGACUGAACAAAAUACAAAUUUCCCGGCUCUACACCAAAUGACCCAUUGAAGGAACUAAAACAGAAGGUAAGUCGAAUUUGUGCACUCUGCAGGAAGAAAGUAAGCAAAAAAUCACAUUUGAGAACUUAUGAAGGCAAUACAGUACAGAUGGAUCAUGUAAGGUGUAAAACGAACCACACAAUAAUACAUUUACCUCUCAUCAUUUACGCCCUUCUACUGUUCUUCUGCAACUAAUAAGAGGCAGGGGCCUGGAUUUUAUUUUAUAUCGAGAGGCAAAAAGACACUGAACUUAAAACAAAAAAAAAUGAUACACAUCGGGAAUUAGUCGAGCAAAAGGGAUAUGUCGAUGAAGAUGAUGUUGAUCCCUGCUUCCUUCCUACCAACUGGAUAGACAAAACCCUUGAAUCCUCUGUCACUCUCUCAUUUCGGACGUCUUUUGUACGGGAAGAAUAUGUCUUCAACAGUGUCUUUUAUCUGGUUCCCUACUCUCCUCAUGUUCCUCGUAACUCCUGACGCUACCAGGUUAGCGUUCCUUGUAAACCUGAAAGACGAAGCCCCAGCUGCUUUGGUUACAAACAGUGCUUAUGCACGGAACAUAAGUUAGUCGCGUUGGAAGUUGUAUCCACUUGCCUUUUUAAGAAGUCGUCGGCUGGAAACUGUGUUGGUUUAGGCGUCUGAAUCUGAGGAGGACGUGACUCCCGCUCUUCUUCAAAACCACAGACAACAAAAAUGUAAGUCCGAAAACACAUGUAAGAUGUAAAUCUGUUCGAAAUUGAACAGAAUAGUCAUGGAUUGUUCUGAAUAGAUGACAGCAUUACUGGGAUUUCCUAUAAUUAGUUGAUUCAUUGUUAAUAAUAGAAACUUGGAAAAAAGACCCUGGAAAUCUCUACCGGAUUACGAAGGAGCCAGCAGCAAGGGGGGUAAAGACAACCUUUCUAGAAAAAAACAUAGUUCUGCACCUUGUCUAUGGUGAGCAGGAGCUGGACUAUGGUGAACAGGAGCUGGACUGCGAGCAUCCGUGGCAGUCACUGGUUUUCUAUUAAUGAGAAGCUGCAAAAUAAUCGGUACUAGUCAGACUAGACUUCCUACCGUAUGUAAAAGAGUACUGAAAUUACUUUCCCUAGGCGAAAACAUAUAGCAACUGAAAAUGAUAGGGGUUACCGGUUCACGUUAACAUGUAGUGCGAGGUUUAGCGAUGGCAUCAAUGAAAGAUGAAAGUUCUAGAUACGCCAUAACAAGCAGGUAAUUGUUGAAAUAAAACGAGACACUCCAUAGAAUGAAUUAUUGAAAUUUCAUCGUGAAAGAAGAGAUACCUCCAGGCCUAAACAGACAGGUAAUUGCGUCUUUGACUCCUGUUUAUCUGCUAAAUGGUCAUCCUUAAUGUAUACAGAAUAUCCCGCACACCCGUAGUAGAAUUUACUGUUCUCUACACCAACUGCCUCCUCAUUUUUUCCAAUAUAGUUUGGCACUAAGCAUUAAACAUCAGUGCAUAUCAGAGUGUUAAUAGAGACUAAAAAGACAUCCAUCAGCAAUAAGACCACCUCAAGAAUUCAAUUGCAAGGCAAUAAAAGUAAGCACAAUAGCUUCAAGCAACAAGUCAAAUCACCAAGCUGUAAGUGGUUCAAAAUUGAGCUUAAGGAAGCAAAUCAAUUAGCUUAUUGACUACAGAGAAGUUCACUCCAAUAGAGAAAAUACAAUUUUUCAAAAGACAAGGCAAGACCUUCACUCAUAUAAGAUCAACAGUUCAACCAGAGUAGUGGGAUGAGACUUCAAGAAAGACUAGCUCUCCAUAGAGGAUGGUUUGGGGAAAAGAGAUACUGCCAAAAGAUAUAUGAACCAGAUAAAGGUGGAUGGAGUAUUGCUAAUUGAUGUCCUCUGUGUUGUUGUGAUUCAAAAUCAGCUUCUGCAAUUUAUCAUUCAUUGCAUCUAUACAAGCAACGUUUCGGAUUAUUUCUUCACUCGGUCUCUCCAUCAAUAGACCACACACAAGAGAUACACAAGACUGUAUAAUUACGUAGAAUUUAUGUGCAAGUGGAGGUGAAUUGAAAAAGUUUAAGGUCAGCCCUUCAUCAGUAUUUCAGAAGAUUUAGCUGAAUGAUGGAUCAGCUAGUCCUAAUCAGCUCAUCACAAGCAUUUGCAUAUACAAUGCUUCGUUGCUGCUUGGUUCCAGCAAAAAUUUCCAAUGAACAAGGCUGGUACAGGAUAGUGGAGGUGAUUUGGCAUUUGGUUAUGAUAUUUCAUGUAUUGAACAUCUCGUGUAUGCCAAUGAUUUUGUUGAUCAAUUCCAGAUUUCAUCAUUAAAAAAAAAAAGAACAACAAGGAUGAUGCUGGUGAAGCAAAAUUGGAGGAAACGGUUCAGUUAUUCCACAAGGGAUGAUAGAUAGGUUAAGACAGAGCAAAGAUACUCGCAUGGUUGUGAAGCUUUAGGAUCAACCGUGUUACUGUUUAGCGUUUAGGAAAGGAAGCAAAGAAAAGAGAAGAGGGGGAGCAGUUACCGGAAGGGAGGGUGCGAGGGAUGCCGAUGCAUCGAGGAUUCUUGCCGUUGGAUUUGAGGGCGGUAGUAUAAUAAAGGUAACCCGAACAGGAUUUCCCCUUCAAACCUCCUCCGUCUGCUGCACGCUUGACUUCCUUCAGAUUGUGGAUUUGAUUAGCUUUCUGAUCGUCCUCGCCUCCGCCACCAUCGAAUUCUUUAGUCGGCUCCAUGGCGGUCAGCGUAUUUCUCUUAUUCUUCUUCUUCGUUUCUUUCUUUUGCUGUUAAUUUGGGCUUUUUCCCUUUUGUUUCUCUUUCGCCUCUCACGCUACCGCUUAACGACGCCGUCCAGGUCGAGUCCCCACGUCUCCAGAUUCCGUAGGCAUGGCCUCUACUUCAUUUUGUCUAGAUGAUUUGGAUGUCACUUAUAUCAUACAUUAAAAAUCUGUUUAACCGAAAUUAAUUCGGUAGGUGAAAUAGUCGAUAUAUUUGAUGAAAUCUGAUAAUCGGUUAAAAUGGUUAAACCAUCCGUCGGUUAAAUGAAAAAGUGAAUUUAUCUCUAAAUCAUAAAUGAUAUUACCCCAAUUUGGCAUCAAUCUAUUGGUUAAAUUAGUCGGCCGGUUAACCCACAGUUAUUUAACCAUGACGGUUGGUUAGUUAAUCUCCGACCAUAUUCGGUCAGUUAAGGAGGUUAGCCGGUCAGUCGUGAAAUUUCUAUUUUAACUGACCAAAACCGACAAUUAAUAACCGAAUUAGCCAAUUCUUCAUACCAACAAACAUGAACAAUAGAAUAUAACAGUAGACUAUAGUCCUGAUCUAUAUAAUAUUCCUCAACACGAACUUCAAACAAAAUUUCGGAACUAUAACAAAAGAUCGAAGUUUGCACUAAAUAACUAAACCCCGGGGCUAACAAAAUAUGAUUUCUGAACUUUUCGAUCAAAUGCCUUGAUAACACAUGGAGAACCAGUUACAUCAUAGUUUGUUUGGAAUCGAUAUUAGUUGAAUUUCCCUCGAAAAAAAUAUAAAAGAGAGAAACAGAUACGAGUUGAAGAAUCUAAGUGCCGCGAUCAAACUUGCUUAUUGCUCACAUUCUGUUACCAAAAUCAGCUUCAUGAUCGACUGAUUUCCGUCAACGGACGCAUAUUGUUUUUACAUACAAUUACAACAUCCACGAAGAAGAGGGAGUGUGCAUUCACUUCAGGCCUUUGCUUUCUAGUGGUAACCUUUCCGCAUUAACAUGUACAAAACGUGCUUCCACUAUAGUACCAAUACACACAGCUCCUGCACUACUCUUCUCCUUUCGAAGCACCAGGGCGUCGACUUGGGCUCAAGGGAGCGUUCCUGAAAACUGGGAAAUACGUGUCCAAAUCCAGUUGUUCCAAAAUGUCCUGUGUGGCCCAGAGAUACGAGGAGUGGCCUUCAAUGUAUUCAGUAACAUCAACCUGCAGCAGAAUCAGUUUCGUUUUCGAAAUAAGAUGGACUUCCACAGAGCUCUCUCAGUUGAGUAAAUAAGGGAUGUGAAGGAAUCAAACUUACAUUCUCAAUUCCAGGGACUUCUAUUGGCUGAAUCCCGGCUAAGCCUUGUGUAAGUAGGCUGCCAAGGAAAAAGGAAACAUAUUAGCUUACAGAGGAUAUCAAUGCCUUUAUGCGUUUGCUUUCAUAGUUAAGGAACAAAGUUUAUAUAGAUUAUGAUAACAAUGUGAUUCUAAUCCCAUACUUUGCUCGGAAAGCAAUUCCAAGCAUCCAGUCGUUUGUUGAGUAGGCAUUCACAAAUCUUCCUGCUACCAUCUGCAAUAAAGUGAAAGCAGAUGAGACAUCUUUAUCGGUGGUUAGACAACAAUGCGGCACUGCCGAGUGAGUGUUGGCUGACGAAAGAAUCACCUUUCUUGCAGCUUCCCAGUUCUCGUCUUUGAUAGCCACGGGAGCUCCCAGGAGAACAACUCUCUCUACUAGUUCAGCUGUUGUUUUUGCAAGAAAUGCAUAAGGAUCUAUCAAAUCAUUUUACUGCAUGAAUCUGAUAUUAUCAGAGUUAUUACCGCUGUGUUCUGUUUCGGCCAAUGUCUGGAGACACUUGAAGAUCACUCGAGCUCCAAGCGAGUACCCCACCAGCGUAACAGGCCUAAAUGAUUUAAAGAUAAAUGAUGAGGAUCUUCCUUUUACAUUAUCAGAAAAGAGGCCAGGGAUAGAGUUUAUCACUACCAUAAACUACGUGUUUAACAACGGUAUUUUAUCUAUUUUAACAGUGAAUAGUCCCCUGUUAGAAAUCCACCGUUAAGUUAAGUAAUGGUAAAUAUGUUAACGGCGGAUUUUUAUCUAUUGUUAAACUAACAGCGGAUUUUAUCCCCCGUUAAAACUAACAUCGGAUAAAAUUCACCGUUAAACUUUUUGUCCGGUAAUAAAAAAACACAGAAACCCAGCUCGUUCUUCAUUCAUCGUUUUUCCAGUCAUAUUUUUUUUUUCUUCUUCUUCAAUUCUUAUUCGGUUCUUCCUCUUAUUCUUCGAUUCUUCUUCUUCUUAUUCUUCGAUUGUUUUUUUUCUUCUUCUUUGAUUCUUCUUUUCCUUCUUCUUCGAUUCUUCUUUUCUUCUUUGAUUCUUCUUCGAUUCUUUUUCUNNNNNNNNNNNNNNNNNNNNNNNNNNNNNNNNNNNNNNNNNNNNNNNNNNNNNNNNNNNNNNNNNNNNNNNNNNNNNNNNNNNNNNNNNNNNNNNNNNNNNNNNNNNNNNNNNNNNNNNNNNNNNNNNNNNNNNNNNNNNNNNNNNNNNNNNNNNNNNNNNNNNNNNNNNNNNNNNNNNNNNNNNNAGUGAUUUUUUUAAAUAGUCUUUAAACCUACCGGCUUUUUUGAAUCCGCCGUUAAAUAUGUAUCGUUAAACUAUCAUUUUCUUGUAGUGUAUAGGCGAAAGCUACCUAUUCCCUUGCACUCCGUUUAUUAGCACUUCAGCAAGCAGCUUCCCAGCUUUGUCAGUCCUAAAAUGGUGGGAAACACAAACACAAGAGCAUCAAUUUUGUCAAUAAGAUUUAAGGAGAGUCAACUGGAUGCAUAAAAGAAUAGCUCCAUGUAAGAGGGAGUUAGCCCCACAAAACCCACAGGAUGAAGCAAACCUAUCAAUGGCAAUUGUCCACGUACUGUCGAUGAAGCUUGUAGCUGAAAGUAUUGUUGUUGGCAAGUAUAGGGCUGCCAUAAGUGCGGCCAUCACAGUCAGCAUCGCACCUUGCCUCAUCAGCUGUGAUGCAAUUGCUAAAAAGAUAAAAAAAAUGUCAACAACAAUACGAGCUGAGCUCACUUUAUAAGCACUUUACUAUAUAGCAGGAAUUUGGUAUGGAGAAAUUACUUGACGUAAACCAAUCCUGAAUUGCAGUGCUAAUUGCAAUUAGAUUCUUUGAUUCCCACUGCAGAGCAUACCUAAAACAUUAGUUGGUUAUAAGUAACCACUUCGGAUACAUAAUAUGUAAUGAUGCAUUUUAAGAAAAUGAAAUGAGGCAUGAUCCAACAUCAUUCAAAUCUGAUGAGAAAUAUGGAUGAACAUACCUCUCCAAGUUGUCAGUUAAUCCUUCCCACGGCUUGAAGAAAUCUUCCUCGUCAAAGAUAAAUCCAGAUAUCAUGAUUUCAACCGCUAGUCGCUGGUAAGAAAUAUAUCAGAAUCACAGCAUCAACUUUAAAACUACCAACAUGCAGAUUUAUCAGAUAUGCAAGACGAGCAAAAGAAAGACUACAGCCUCUAGAUAAACAAGCUUACGCCUUGAUUAUGGCUGUCUCCCAUCGUUUUGAACUCAAAUUCUUCUAUGCUUCCAGUUCUUCGAGCCAUCUUGGUCCCUGCUAGGCCAGCUCCGGCAGCUGGCUUAAUUGAAAUAUGUCAAACAAAAGGCUGGAGAUGUGAACUUUUCCCUUACAUGAGAUUAUUCAGUUAUUCUUGAGCACAAGAUGGCAUGAUAACAGCAUAAAUUGAAAGAAAUCUAUUUGUCAGAGAAGUGGACAGAACAAUUUCUAACUAUACUUGAAGAGAAGAUCAAUCCGGCAGUCCCCCUAUUCAAAAGGUAAAUUGAUAGCACAGACUCCCUGGAUACUCUACAUAAGAGUUUUCAAAACCUCCAACGAUUUUUAUGUCCCUUGGGUCAAUGUGAAAUAAUUUUCAUUUAAGUUCUCUAUUCUCAUUAGUGUUUCAUGUGACACAGACUCGAUAUUUGAUUUCUUUCACGAGCAUGCCAACCCAAACUGCCUGGUAACUUGGCAUGAGGAGGGAAAUGUUCCCGGCUUACACACAGCCAAAGCUUGCCCAAGUCAGCCUUAUACUGAACCAACAUAGCAACAGGAAAUGGAUGAACUAUCUUAAAAUUAAAAUUUCAAGAGCAGGCAAACAUUCACCUCCAAAUGAUGCAGCAACAGCAACAGAACCAGCUACCGUUCCUGCAGCUGUUGCAGCUGCUGCGAACCCACUUGCUCCAAUCACAGGUAUAAGAGUGCCCAAAGUUGGAGCUAGGGCACCAAACCCUGCAGCAAUUGCAGGAGCAGCUAAACCUGUUGUAUGAAAAUGAUGUGAAAAGACACCAAUAAACUAGUUAAAUGGUGGGUCUUAGGCCCUACGUUAUACUGGAAACACAAGAAACAAUUAAAAGAAGAAAACUGGUCCAGUAUGCCUCAUUACCGCCAGUAAUCGCCAUUAAGGCUCCUCCAGUUAUUGCAGCUGCACCAAUGAUGCUACCACGUUUGAUUUUAGCCCAUUUGCUUGAAGAUUGGGUUUCUUCCUUUGACUCUUGCUGUUUCAGAAUAGCCAUUGCUGAGCAAGCUACCAUUGUCUCGACGGCUUCCUAUAGACAAAGUAAUGGACGUGGGUAUCAACACUACCACAAAUCAUAAUUUGACGGCAAAUCAUUUUUGCAUGAUAAGUAUAAAUCACACAAAAUUAUUCUAAUCAAGGACAACUAUCAACCAAGUUCACCAACCAUUUUUAUCCAACUGAUAUCCAGCCAUGUUGACAGCAGCCUCAAAGCCACACGAUGUCUAGCAUCAUAACCCUUUCUUCGCCUAGUACUCGACUUGCUGUCAUUGUGUAUAUCUGCCAGGCAAGCUGAAAGAAGCUCAUAAAGAACUGUGACUUUCCUGUGGUAACUAAUCAUCAUUACCUCUUCAAUAGGUUUAUCAUCAACUUUGAUGCUCGAGUCCUUGUCCGGACUCCUAGGGCUAUUAGAACUAGGCGUAGUAGAGGCAGUCUCAUUUGGAGAAAAAAAAGGUACGUCCGGAGCAUCAGAAUCAGGUUGCUUAUUGUCAGAGGAUAAUUUCUCACGACACUCAUUUUCAUACUCUCGAUGCUUCUUCUUCUUAGACCUGUACGACACUCGGUUAGUUUCCAUGGUUUGUUCUGUAGCAUCAAUAGCUUUUGACAGAGCAAUCUCUUUAUCAGUAUUCUGAGAAGGGUCGUCGCUGUCUUCAGUAAGUAACCUCAAGAACUGGAGGAGACAGAAAGAAGAUAUCAUAUGGACAGACGAUCAAGUAAGAAAUGGACAAAGAAAGAAAUGAAAGCACGUACAGCUCCAAUAUGACGCCUAGCUGCAGCAGAACCAGCUGUCUCCUCCAGUCCAGACCAUGCAGAAGAAUCGAUCUCCAAAAAUCUGGUCCAUAGAAGUUCAAUUCAACACAGUUAAACACGGCUUGGACUUACAUGCUCUGAAACUCUGCUAAAAUGUAGAAUAAUUCAAUUCAGACACAACCUAAAUCCUUCAUUCUAACCAGACGAUCAAAUUCAAUAAUUGAUGAAGCAACGGGCAGUCGGAGAAGAGGAAAUUGGACCUGAAAACGAGGCGGAGGAGACCGGAUUUCUCGUGAACCCAAAGAUCAGGAUCCUCGGAAACGGAGUCGCUACUGUUACUACUAAAACUGGCUCGAUCGGCAUCGCCGGGAACUUCCUCGACGAACAGGCCCAAUGGGCGGGUUUGGUGGAUCUGCGCCUGAUGAAGAGCUAGGGCGAAUAAUGCUCCGGCGGCGUACCUCUGAGUCGGAGGCAGAAUCGACGGAGUAGAAGUCUCCAUGUAUAGAUGCAAAGGAAAAUUUUAGAUGAGAGCGCCAAUCUGCUAAGUAAAUUCCGCUACAGUCACGGAGAACAGUAAUACGCGCUGGAAAUUUGUUGAUGUAGUUGAAGAUCUGUGCAUCGGAGCCCGUCACGGAAGGCGGUUUGAAUUGAAAAUGGCAAUCCAUUUUUAUUAUUUUUUAUACGUCGCCGUUCCCCGCGUCAAAUUUGAAAACGACAAAAUAGAUGUCUGAUAUGACGAGUUGGAUUCCAAUAAAAUUGUAGUCAUUACUCAUUAAUUAGGUCGGAAAAUUGAACUUUCUACUUUGUGAAGCCAAGUAGCAAGACAUCUCGUUUUGCAUACAAAAACAAUUCAAUAUUAUUAUAUCAUACGAUGGUUAAAUUUGAUUGAGCCAAUCAUUUCAUCGCUAUAAUUAUUUAUUAUAAUAGACAGACAAUUUAUGUAUAAUUAUUUAUUGUCGAAACAAGAUCAAAAUGUUACUAUAAAAAAAUUAAUCUUAAAUCAAUCGACAAUGACAUAUUCAAUUCAACAAUUACUAAUAUUUAUGUGUAUAAUUAAUUCAAUUUAAAAGUUAUUCCGUAAAUUAUUAAUGCUCUGUGCAAUGUAUUUUCUUACGAACAAUAUAUUUUUUCAACAAUUAGGUGAAAAUUAACUCAUCGCCUUAUUAAAACACUGUAAGCCCUCCACCACCGGCUUAAACCAAAUACUCUAGCAAAAAGAGGAAAGGGAGAUUGAGGAGCUGAAGGUGAAUAGAAUCCUAUAGUACGCUUGUUCAAAGGAAGGAAUGAAAAAAACAAUUGUCUCGAGCCUGAAGAAACUACUAAUGGAGUGUGGACUGUGCUAGAAUUGCUAGUGGAACUUUGUACAACACUUGAUGAUGAUGAUGCGUGCAGUAAAAACACAAAUACAAAUAGCAUGUAACUUGAACAUGUACAUGUGCACAAUUAUUAUUCUACGCUCUAAACUCCCCACAAGCUCUGAUUAAAUCAUGACUCAUCACACUUGACAAAUUGCAGAGGAGGACACUUUUAUAAUUCAUAACAAAUCAUGGAGCCACUCAUGGCCAUCAAUGAAACCAAGUGAAACAAAAGGCUCAGCCUCAGCAUCAGUAAGCUCCCUGGACCACGGAACCCUUCCUCCAAAAUUAGCUCCUGGACCCCAACAUUUAUACUGCCCGUAAAACACAGUCCUGCCAAACACAAAAAACGUCAAACUUACUCAUAAUUCAGUCAAUUAAAGUUCACGGGUGGCUGAAGCUGAAACUUUCACUUACAUUUCUCUGUUUUUAUCUCCCCAGUCGUACCACCCUUGCGGAGUGAUAAUCUUAUCCAUGAAAGUGUAAGCGAACACUACUCUGGAAAAAGACCCCCAUGCCCUUCCGAGGUACAGAGCUCCGGAGCCAGUCACUUUGCAUUUCACGAAUGAGAACCCUGUUUCCUCCAGCAGGCUCUCCCUCUUCUGCGCCGUCAGAGCUCCGAAGGUGUUGGUUAUGGCGUGCAAGUGGCAGUUCUCGUACAGAGACAGGCCGUUCCCGAAUACGAAGUCUACCGAUCCUUCGAUGUAGCAGUGCUUGAAGUAGUGCCUCCCUAGGUGGUCGUACAGAGUGUCCUGUGCUCCGAUGAACUUGCAGCCUAUGAACGCCGCGUUGUCUCCUGAUAUCCUUAGCGCCACCGCUUGCUUCCCUAGUGCCCCUGACGGUGGCGGAGGCGCAUUGUUCUGUAGGAAAAAUAUUAAAACCAAUGAUGAUGUUUAAUGUCAAGAUUUGUAUUGUCUGAUAAAGCCAGGGCCGUUGUGGGUCAAGUCGCUCAUGAGCAGGUUGGCGUUCGGUUCGAAUAUACAGCUCGUUUGUGAUUCGUUUGAUUUUAGAUGAGUUAGGGUAAGUUCAAGUCGCUAAAUUUGCAAGCUGACUCGAGCUCUAGAGUUAAUUCGAAUACUAAUUUGAGUAUAUGGAUCAUAUACUUAAAUCAAUAAUGCAAUAUAUAUGACAAAUUAUAUAUAAUUUGUGGUCUUAUUAAUGAAAAUGUGAAUGCUAUAUUGUUCGGGGUUAAUUAUUUUAAUUGAGAAAAAAGAAAUUUAUAAAUUUUAGGAUAGUAGUUUUUUAGUUUUUAAAUUGAGAAAAGAAAAAUUUGUAAAUUUGUUUUUCAGUUCGAUUUAUUAAUAUAUUUUAGUGUACAAACUUAAAAUCCAAGCCAAAAUGGACUCAUCAGAGAUUUUUAAUGAGCGAAGUUCGAGUUUAACUCGAGUUUGGCUCACAAUAAAUAGUUAACAAGUCACGCUCGAGCUCAUCAUGAGCUAAAAAUUUUAAAUCGAUUUCCUAUUCUAGUCGAACUCGUCUAAAAAAAAAGUCAAAUUUAAAUCAAAUAAAAUUCAACUCUGCAUCGAUUCGUAAAUCCUUUAAUAAAGCUAAUAAGGAAAAAGUUGUGUUCUUUACUCUUUGUCUUUAGUACCCUUAAUUAAGUCUUACAGAAAAAGUAACAUCUGAAUUUAAGGAAAAAUGACCUUGAAGGUGAUGUUCUCGGCAAUGAAGUAAGGAGAAUUGACAGCAAAAGUUGCAGAACCAAAAGUUCCCAGAGGAUGCCCAUUGGCCCCAAUUCUGUCAGCUGUAUCAUCCCACUCUAUGAUGGUCUUCCCAGUACCAGCUCCUUUCAAGGUUAUGUACGCCAUUGUUGUCGGUAUCUCAACCUUCUCCCUGCAAAUUAAUCAUCACUCAUCAAAAGACGAGAUUUUCCAAAAUUCCUAAAAAGCUCUGUUCUAAUAUAAAAACCACCUCACCUGUAAGUUCCUUUGCCAAUGGAGAUGACAACUCGGCAGUCAUUCACUACAGGGAUGGACUCUAUGGCCUUACGCAGAGUCGGGAAUACUCUGCUUCUCGACGUUCGUGAGUGUUUCUUCUUCUUCUUCACUUUCAAAGUCAAGCAAGGCCUCACCUUGUUCAUGGGUUUCUGAAACAGAGCAUGCUUGUUUAAGGACGAUGCCAUGCUCUUCAGCCACGUGGAGUAGCCGCCGUCUGAUGGUUCAGCAAUAGCCAGCGUGUUCCUGUCUUCAGGGGAUGAUAAUUCCUCUGACCCAAUUGGAUCAACCAGCAAUAACAUCAACAGAAGUAGCUUCAGCCGCAUCAUCAUUAGCAUUUGGAAAGGGGGAAAGAAGGUAUUAUGUCUCUUCAGAAGAUAAGAAAGAGAGAGGAUAAUAUAGUUAAGAAGAACUCUGCUAACAGACAACAAUGGCAGAAUAGAAUAAUACAAUAAGGGUAAUAUGUUGUCUCUCGUUAGACGCUUGGUUUACUCAUUGGAAGGACCUGGCAGAGAGACUGACUGUCAGGAUGACGGUUGUUCCAUCUUGUCUGUUGUGUUCUUUGCCAGAAUGUAGAAAAUUCUCAUAUACAGGUCAUGUUUUUGCUUGCUUCCAAGAACUGGUGGACUUAUUAUCAGAAACAUGAAAGAGGGAGGAGAGGUCCGCAAAUGAGAUCUGUGUUAUGUGAAAGACAUUUGGGUAUGGUGUUAAAUUGUUUGUGUUGAAAAUGUAGACUUGAUGGCGUGAGAAGUAGUGGGUAGGGAAGGAGGCAAAGGCAAACAGCAACAUGUGUGUAUGGAAAAAGGUUAGUGUAAUUGUCCAGAGGGAGUGAGUACUGAGGGUAGUUCUGAUAUCUAUUUGUGAGAAGGUGGCAACAUGGGAGGGAGAAAGGAGAAACGGUUUAUGUGUUGGUUUUGGUAAGGAUGAAUGGUUUUGAUGUGAGAUGACAAAAGCUCCAUGUUCAUGAUGAAGAUGUGACACUAGUUACGUCCUUUUUUUACAUCACUAUAGUAAAAUAGUGCUAGGUUAUUGUAUAAGGUUGAUGCCAAAAUAUGGAGAGUUACUAUUAGUCUUCUUAGAAUGUGAAAUUUGAUUGUCCUAAAACGAAGAGAAAUAACUUAAAUAAUAUAGACGUUUAAACAAUACCCACUCUUCUUUUUCGAUGAUAAUCACAAUUAAUCACUUUCAAUUACCAUUAUUUUUUGAAAAGAAACUUAUUUUCGGUAGUGGGGUCAACCGACGAGGAUUGAUUGUGAUUAAUCUUAAGGAGAAAGAGAGUGACAUGAUGAGAAAUCUUGAUUUAAUCUCGAAAAAAGUGGAUUGGGUUAUGGGUUUCUGACUGAGAAUUAGCUAUAGGUAAAGUGAGAUAUGACGUGGACAGACACUUUUAAAUUAAUUGAAUAAGAAUGUUGAUGAACUUUGUUUUGCCGGAAAAGUGAGUUGCAAACUCAGAGGGCAGGGAUAGGACGGAUUUAUAUUUUACUUAUUUGAAGGUAACAUGUUAUGUUACGUAAAGAGAGAAAAAUUACAGUGACGAUGAGAUACCAUACUAAAGAAAAAGAGAGUAGUGUCAAGAUAACAAAAAACCACAUGUGCCCACUAGAUAGGUUGUGUAGUUAUCCAUACGAGAUAUGGGGAAGGUAAACAAAAGGUAGGGACUGAAAAAGAUUGAUACAUUCUGAUAGGAGCUAUCAAAAUCUAAUGUUUUUGGUAGACGAAGUAAUCAUACAAACUACUUGCGUUGAAUUCAAAAAAAUUGAAAAUAAUUCAAGGUAAGAGAUGUUAACGACAUAAAGUGCUUAUCGAAUUGUCAAGAACUCAAAAACUAAAGAUGCCACCAAAUGUGGAGCCACUUGCCCCAUAGCCGAUACCAAAGACCUACAAGCUCGAUGCACCACCGACCCAAUAGCACCAUAACCCGAGUAACAAGUCACGUGGAUGGAUUUGUUAGGUUUUCAAACGUUUGAGGCGCAUUUGUUAUGUCAAAAGAAAUAGAAUGAUUUUGUACGAAAAUUGAAAUGUACGAGGAUUACAAACGCUAUCAGUCUAUCGUCUUCAACCGAAGUCCAAACUUCAGCCAUUUCCAUCCCCCUGGCCCUCAGAAUCAUUCCGAAGGGUUUAGCGUUUCUCCUCCAUCUUCAAGACUCCGCCUCCGCCUUUCCGCCGCCGAAAUCCUGUAUCUCUGGCAGGUAACUUCUCGCUGCGUCUUAUCCGUACUCAAUCGCCACAUAAACUUCAAUUUCUUUCCAGCAAUUGAAUUGUAAAUUCAUUACCGCUUGCCGAUUGUGGAUCCUUUCUACUUCCGUCUUUACCUUAAAUGCUGUUGAUUUCGCCAAAUUUCGUCCUGUCCAGUAGGGUCUGGAUUGCCAAAGGUCUUAGCUUCCCGUUUGAAUUAUGCUUUGUUGAUAGAGGCUCGGUGUAGAGAUGAGUAUGUCUGGACUGGCUCUUACUCCCACGAAGUGCGGUCCCCGGACGCCUGUAAUUGGCUUGACGUGUUCAAGCCGUCGAGCUUCUCACUUUUCCUGUGUCGAUAGAACUCGAGAACAGAAGAUUGGAUUGCCCCCGGUGCGAAGGUAUUGUGUUUUGACUUUUGACUUCCCUUCAACUUUGACUCAACUUCAUGGGCCGGUGGUUAUGGGAAAUGAUGAGUUUGUCUGGUGGUGCUGUGCAGAAGUUGGGAUGCAUUGGUGCAAAGAUGCAAUCUGCGGCGAACUUACAUAGUCAAAAGCGCUAUGGAUGCUUCCUAUGGUGGAGAUAGGACGGAUAAAGAAUCUGGUACUCAUGAAUCUUCUUGGUGGAAUGAAUCAAAAUUUUAUAUAUCUUCUGUUUCAAUGUUUGAUGAGGUUCUUUCUUUGUUUUAGCUGAAAGGUUGUUUUAAUGCCAACAAAUUGGGGAACUUUUCAGUCCAAAUAGAGAAGCUUAGCUUGACUGUUUAAUGGGGCCUUUACAUUGUUUUAGCUGAAAGGUCAUUUCAAUGUCAACCAACUGGAUAACUUUUCAGUUUAAAUGGGGAAGCUUAUCUUUCCUGCAGACCUGAUGGCAUGUUUCAAUGUCAAGAAUCUGUCUCACUAACAGAAUAGUGUCCAAUUUUUACUCACUGAGCCGGUUAAAUUGUUGAACUUUUUCAACUAUAUAAUAUGGAUGAGCUUAGGAAGUUAGUCGAUGUCCUGGUAUGUGUUUCCAAUUCUGCAACUAUGUCUAUGGUAGUAUAAUGUAGGUAUAUGGACCUCCGUCGACAUUCUUUUUUAGUGGAAUGAAUUUUCUUCUUCGAGUGUUAGCCACAUGAAUAUAUAACAUUGUUCCUUGAUCACAUAUCAUACCAGCAGCAUUUGCUUCAGAUUUGAUGAACUCAUGAAUGUACUUUUUUGUCGAUAUUGGUAUGGAAUUUGCAUUACUCAUCCCUUAAAGCUUUUAUCACAAUUGUCUUUGCAAGCAGCUGUUUUCCCCAGAAUCCAUGUAAGGGACCCAUACAAACGACUUGGGAUAAGCAGGGAGGCCUCUGAAGACGAAGUUCAGAGUGCAAGGAACUUCCUGAUUCAGAGAUAUGGUGGACACAAACCAAGUGUGGAUGCAAUUGAAUCAGCUCUUGAUAAGAUAAUCAUGGAGAAGUAUCAUGAACGGAAGAACCCAAAAAUUGACCUCAACAAAAAGGUCAGGGAAGUAAAGCAAUCCCGGUUUGUGCAGGCUGUGACAAACAGAUUCCGUACUCCAUCCACAAUGGUUGUUGCUAAAACAGCAAUUGCAUUUCUCAUACUUGGAGCUCUCACCGUUCUGUUUCCAACCGAGGAAGGUCCAACCCUUCAAGUAGCAAUCUCUCUUGCUGCUACUAUGUAUUUCAUAUAUGACAGAUUGAAGAGCAAGCUCAGAGCUGUGCUUUAUGGGUAUGAAUAUGAUUUGUUUCCGCUUCUCUUUUGCCUUUUUGCCUAAUCUAAUCCAACUCUCUCUGAAAUGGUAAAUCUUUAAGCGUGUGAUUCUUGCCAUGUUGCAGGGCUGCAGCUUUCAUUUUCUCAUGGCUGAUCGGAACCUUCUUGAUGGUUUCCGUGAUUCCUCCGUUGCCGAUAGUCAGAGGGCCGAGGAGCUUUGAAGUGACGACAUCACUGCUAACUUAUGUGCUACUAUGGGUUUCCUCCACCUAUCUGAAGUAAUGCUGGUUCUGAAGAAGUAAUUGAUCCGUUUGAAAACUGCAAUUUUGCUGGAGCUGAAUGGCUAGACUAGUUACUGUUGAUUAUCUAGUUGAAUCUCCCUAUGUUUUCCUGUUAGAGCGUCAACACUUGAAGCAAGCAUUUGAAAUUUUUAUCGGUGGGAUUGAGUUGUGUAGGGUAAAAAUGCUUGUGGAAAGGAAAGACUUUCUGAUUGUAGUUGAAGAGAUGUAGAGCUAAAUGAAAGUGAAAAUAACCUCAUGUUGAGGGUUAUUAUCCGAUCGGCGUGUUUUUUAAUUUUUUAAUUAUUAUUUAUUAUUUAUCUUUGGCCAUACAUAGCUCUUUUAAAAAGAUUUAGAUAGUAGAUAUUACAGCCACGAUCUAAGGAUCUAAUCAAGCAGUGAGAUUAAUUUUAACGCGAUUUAAAACAUAAAAAAGUCUUUCACGCCACAAAUGGACAGCUUAGUUACCUUAACCACCACACCAACAAUAAAUUUUGAGACACGAGGAUGGGGUCGGUCCCAAUCAGCUUAGUAGAUUAUUAAAUAUUACUCCCGAGUUUGAUUCUUACAGUUUUCAUCUUUAAGCUUGUCUCCCGUUGAUCACCGAGUCCCACGUGAAAUCGACGGUAAGUAAUUGGUAAUGCAGAGUUCAUGGGCAAGAGUCGAAAUAAUUUUAUGCAUGGAUGAAAUUUUUUCGAAUUAUGUAAUGUUGUUGGAUUACUAAAGGGCUAAAGGGAUCUUCUAAAGGGCAAUUCACUAAAUUCUUAGCUAUCAAUAAAGUCAACGAUCUUGUACCUUUCACUUAUUGUAAUUACAUCAGACGGUUUAAAGUUUUCUGCCACUUAUAGUGAGCUCUGGGCUUCAGAAGCUCCUACACGUUAAUAACAUCUGGUCCAGCUUUCUGUACAAUAUAUCGUAGUACAAAUUACAGUACAAAGAUCGAAACCCAAGGCGUGAAGCCAGUGAAAGGAGUCGUCCAGAAACACAUGGAUCUCUGCAGGACUACAACAGUUACAUUGCCAUGUAGCCCCUACCACUAGAGACACACUCGGACAACCACAAGUCCAUGUGUUCAAUGAUCUUUUGCCUUACUUUCUGCACCGCGUCAGGCGAUGUGCAAUUCUCUGCAUUCCCUGAAAUAUGGAAAUCGACAAUGCUGAGACCAAAACAGGGACAAGGGAAGUCUGGUGGUAGCACUAGGUACAUUCUGCAUACCUUCUAUGUUUAGAGGAGAUUGAGGACAUCCUCGCAUAUCAGUUCCAUGGCCACAGUUGUGACAAGUUAUCAAGUACGAAGGCACUGGAAAUUUUAAUAAGUAUGUGUUAACUCAGAUGCUUAGUUACACACGGAUAUGAAACUUCAGUGACCAGAACAUUGAUUUCAUUGCAGAUGCAUGAGUUCCAAGGCCAGAAACAACAUGUAGUAAGGCUUAGAGGUCAAAAACAUAGUGUAUGGGGAUCAGUCCAAAUUUGCUUUUAAGAAAUGCAAUGCUAUAGAUGACAGGGACCAGUCCAAAUUUGCUUUUAAGAAAUGCAAUGCAGUGUACUUACUUGUCGAGGAUGAAAUCUGUUUAGAUGCAUGCCGCCAGGGAUCUUGUGAGCCAUUUGUAAAUACAAUCUUUGAACCUGUAUUAUGCAACAAGCCAUAUAUGAAGGCAGCCAAUGGUCAACGAUCAAGAUGGAAAGAACAAUCCUUGAGGGUUCGUUUGGGUUAUCGGACCCAGAAAUAGGUGGAAACAGAAAAUACAUUAGUCCUUCCAUCAAGACCCAAGGAGGAAACAGAAAAUACAUCAAGUCCUCACAUUUUUAGUUGUAUUGAUUUGUUGUUCUAUAAAGCAACGGCAGGUCAAACUUCAAACUCCUAAAUUCUGUAUAACUUUGAACUUUGAAGGCAAUUAAUUAACCAUAUUCAUUUUAUGAUUCUGACUAACGACACUAAAUUGUUGCAGUUUUAGCUUGAAGUAGCAUUAGAUGAUUAUGCUUAAAGGAAAAGGAUUUUGUCUAGACCUGCAAUCUUUGUUCCCCCAUAAUAUAUGUUCGUUGCAUCAACCUCAGGAUAGACGCCCUCCCCAAAAACGUUCUUGCAGAGGUCCAAAUGGUAUCUGCGACAUAUCAUCAAGUAAAUUUUGUUGUCUAGUGACUAGUUGAGACCAAGAAAAUAAGGAACCGGGAUCUACCAACUUCUGAUGAACGAUAAACAUCUGAUGACUAAAAAGGAGAAGAUAAGACUUGCCUUGUGUCAACUUUUGAAGAACGAAUGCUAUCAUUUGCUGGAGCCACUUGAAAGUAUGCAACUUCAGUACAAACUUGGAACCACCACAACCGAUCGGAAGGAUCUUCGGUGAGAGUGGGAUCUUUUAGGUGGGUCUGAUCAUAAGUUUUAACACUGGUCCCGAAUGUUCCAAGAAAGUAGUCAUUUACAUACUUGGCAUAUGCAGCCUGCACUAAAUUUCAUCAAUUAGAUAACACGUGUAAAGCAACCAGCAACAUACAUAUGGCCUCAGUGGUUUGCAUGGUGCCUAUAAAGGAAGGUCGAAAUAAAAAGAUAAAAUUGAUGAACUUAAUUAAUCUAAGGAACUUCCUAACCAUAUAAGCCCCCAAUUUCUUAAGAGAUAUGUCUCUGGUUCAGCCAAUCUCAUGAACCAAAGUCUUGAACUAUAUCAAUGCAUGUAAGUAACUCUGUAUUUUUUGUUAAAAGUGCCCAGUUAACGUGAACUUACCAACAGAUCGUCUCCACCCUUCUUAGCUUGAACAAGCGGAUCACAUAAUACAUCUGGAUUCCCAUACUGAAACUGGAAAAGAAGACAGCGAAAUUGUUAGUUCUAAAAUAUGUAGAGCCAAGUGAAACAAAACACAAAAAGAGCUACACUGACCCCAAUAACUGCAGCAUCCGCUAGAAAAUACAGGAAAUCACCAUCAAUGUUAAGCUGCAAACACCAUCGGAAAAAAAAAAGAACGGGGAGGGCUUAGAAAAGAUUAGAAACCGAACAAUGAUUCUAUUCACCCAUUUUUGGUCUGAUAAUUUGCUCAAAACAAUCUUUGGUCCGAGAAGAAAAAACCAAACCUCGGUUGCACCAAACAGUGACUUCACAGAUUCUGUGUUUGAUGCAAGACCUUGAUCAACAAGCUUUGUAACAUCCUGAAGGGCUGCUUUACAUUCAGGACCAGCUGACACACCAAUCUGCAUAAUAUAUGUUAGAUGAAGGUUUUAACCAUAGGAAUCUAAACGUUUAAACAGAGUUGAAAAAUUAUAAUACCUGCUGGUCAAACUCUGUAUAGUUAUAAACAGCAAGAACAACUGCCGAACUAGCAAGACUCCCGCAUGUUAAGUGCGGGAACUUCAGACGAAACCAUGCACUAAGAGCCCCGGAAUACGAAACACCAAAGAAAAACCAUGGAUUUUCCACUCCUGUUCUGUUAAGUUUCACAUUCAGCGAGUCCUACAUAGCAUACGACAAGAUACGUCACAACAAUGGAAAAUAUGUGCAGACAUUUCUACUCUCUUGACACAUCCGAAGGAUUCUAGUUCUUACAGUUGUACUGCAUAUUCUGUCAAAUGAUCUUCAAACAAGAAAAAUAAAGGAAACAGAACUGAGAAAAAUGCAAAAUCACUUGCCUGAUAAUGCUGCCUAAAAAUAGCCAGGUCAAAGAGUGCCUGCUUGGAUGAAAGGUAUCUCAAAUUUUCAGUUUCUAAGGACUUAAAGGGCGAACUUUUUCCAUAAUAUCGGUGUUCCAGUGACACAACAGCAGCUCCAAACUUCUUUGCCAGAACCUGUAUAAGCUAAUAACGUUUAGUUGAAACCUAGAACUAGAGUAUCUGAUAUACACUGAUCUGAUAUUCAAUCAAGUGCCUAGAUUCCACAACUAACUCCUAAAUCCGAACCAGAACUCCCUGGAUCAGUUAGUAAGUUAUUGAAGGAAAGAAUACGACUUACGCCAAGAUAGUCAUUUUGUAUGCCACUGCAAGGACCUUCCCCACAAAUUGUCAGAAAGAUGGGUCCAUUGGGAGCUCUGAAGUGGUCCAAAAACUCAUAGUAGCGCUGCUGGAACCUCCGGUGAUCCUGCAAAACGCAAAAAUCAGUCAAACAAGAACAUAUUCGUACACAAACACACAAAGCCAACUGAUCGGAGAUUAAAACCUAACCCAAACCAGAUUCAAGCAGGAACCUUUGCAUGAAUAAUAUAGAACCCAGGUAACAAAAAAUCAGAACUUUCCCGAUUAAUUCAAUAUCAAAAGGCAAGAGUUGAAGCAAAGGAGAGAUGAGUUACAAAUGGGGAGAAAUGAUCGAGCGUCUGACUGAACCACAAUUCAUUAGUAGUUAAGUACUUGGAGGCAGCGAUUCCAGUGAGGCGAGGGCGGUUAAUCAAAGCACGAGAUUCGAGAAAGCCAUAAGACAGCGUUGAAAGCAUAAAAUACAACAGAGACGCAACCAACAGGAGCGACUUCAUCCUAUGUUUGCUCUCUUUUCUUCUUCCUCGGUGGGUUAGUUCGUGACGCCGAAUUCUGGCUCCACUUCUCUGUCGUUCACCAAAUCCCCUCCGAUGCUUUUAUUUUUCGCGAUUGAGGACUAAAUUCUUAUGCGUCCCGAUGAAGCAAAGGUUUUUCUCCAGCCAAAAUCCAAUUGCGUUGCAGCUGAACUUAGUCAGUAGUCACAUACAGUAACGACGGUCAACGGAUAAUAUCACUAAUCCAGUCACUCCAGUUUGCAUAAACUAACAUAUCAAUCACUUAAUAUUUAAUAAUUCAUAACUCGAUUAUUAACUCGAUAAUAUUUCAGUUUAAAAUUUCAUUGGCUACAUGCCUCUAUAUGAAGUUAGGAAAUUUCAAUAAGUUAAAAGAGAUGUAAAAAUGGUUGAUAAAAAUAUCUCAUAUAUAAAUAUCAAAAGGUUGAAAUAUUAUAUUAGGUAACACGAGACAUAUAACUAAACAUUAAGUAAUGUAGGAAUAACAUCUUGUGGCGUAGGUGUGUGGGAAUGACGUCCCAUAUUUCAUAUAGGGAUGGUGUAAAACUAUGAGAUGCAACAUCUUGUACUAGAAAUGAGCAAUUUAAAUGUAACAUAGAGACCACGACGUCGUAAAAAGAAGAAUGACCUAAAAAGCAAUUAAUUUUUUUUGAAUAUUAUCAAAAUUCUUAUUAUAUUUAUUUUUGAAAGAAANNNNNNNNNNNNNNNNNNNNNNNNNNNNNNNNNNNNNNNNNNNNNNNNNNNNNNNNNNNNNNNNNNNNNNNNNNNNNNNNNNNNNNNNNNNNNNNNNNNNNNNNNNNNNNNNNNNNNNNNNNNNNNNNNNNNNNNNNNNNNNNNNNNNNNNNNNNNNNNNNNNNNNNNNNNNNNNNNNNNNNNNNNNNNNNNNNNNNNNNNNNNNNNNNNNNNNNNNNNNNNNNNNNNNNNNNNNNNNNNNNNNNNNNNNNNNNNNNNNNNNNNNNNNNNNNNNNNNNNNNNNNNNNNNNNNNNNNNNNNNNNNNNNNNNNNNNNNNNNNNNNNNNNNNNNNNNNNNNNNNNNNNNNNNNNNNNNNNNNNNNNNNNNNNNNNNNNNNNNNNNNNNNNNNNNNNNNNNNNNNNNNNNNNNNNNNNNNNNNNNNNNNNNNNNNNNNNNNNNNNNNNNNNNNNNNNNNNNNNNNNNNNNNNNNNNNNNNNNNNNNNNNNNNNNNNNNNNNNNNNNNNNNNNNNNNNNNNNNNNNNNNNNNNNNNNNNNNNNNNNNNNNNNNNNNNNNNNNNNNNNNNNNNNNNNNNNNNNNNNNNNNNNNNNNNNNNNNNNNNNNNNNNNNNNNNNNNNNNNNNNNNNNNNNNNNNNNNNNNNNNNNNNNNUAUUUUUUUAUAGCAAGAAAUCUUCAAUAUAAAGAACAUAAAAAUGAACUCAAAAUAGUAGACAAAAAAUACAAAUGAAUUUGAGAUGAUUUAAAACUUUGAGACUACGUACCCUGUUAGUGAUCAACCUUUGGAUCGAUGUUGUAGCUGUAAUUGGCUGUAGCACAGAUUCUGAAACCUGACUUCAACAUAUGUGCUCAAAUCUAACUUCACUUACUUCAGAAACUGAAUACGUACGAAAGCGACGAACCUCCAAUAUUACCAAACAAAAACAUAUGAAAUCACUACUGUGAAACUGUGCAAAUUCAAAGUCUCAAGUUAAUAUUGCAGAAUAGUAACAAAAUCAAACUAGAUUUGGUAUAAGCAUAAUGUUUAUCUUGUCACAUUGAUACAGUGGGAUUUGAAAAAACGUCGCAUGAAUUUCCAAAAUAUAAUUUUAUUUUGAUCCUUAUAUAUCUUCUCCAACGUGAAUGUCAUCUACCUUAUAAAUACAAUUACCAAACUAAGGUUUACAUUUCUGGUAUCGGUUCGUUUAACCUCUGUAUCUAAUAAAAGGAGCGAAAGGAUGAGGGAUUGUUGUAUGACUUCUAUUUUUCCCUCUGCUUCUGCAAAAAAUUCAUCUUCAUUCACUUAACAAUCAAAAUCAGUCGACUAGGUUCAUUCUGGUGUACUGUCAGGGGCCAGGAUGAAGCGGCUUCGAGACUCCGCCGACGUGAUAGAGCAAAUCCUGAUGUACUUACCCAUAAGGGAUGCUGCCAGAACCAGCAUCUUAUCAAAAGACUGGCGGUAUCGUUGGAGAAGCAUUCCUCAACUCGUGUUCGAUGCGAAUUUCGCAGCUACAUUCCACAACGAUCACUUGCUGGACAAGAAAAAGGUCAUGCUUAGCAUUUACAGAGCUCUGAUAGCACAUGAUGGCCCCAUAACCAAGUUCAAGCUCGACAUUCCUGGAUUGAACCCAUCUCCUCAGAUUGACCUGUUGAUGCCUUACCUCACAAGCAAACAAGUCCAAGAGCUAACCCUUCUCGUUGACACCGACGAUGACUACGCCAAACUGCGUGCCCCUUUGUUCUCAGCCAUCAACUUGAGGCGUCUGAAAUUGCAACGUUGCGAGUUCACUGUGCCAUCUUCCUUUGUCGGGUUUAGUAAGCUUACUUUCCUUGAAUUGAAAGACGUAAUAACACCUGACGAUUUCUUCGAGCAUUUCCUUCCGAUGUUUCCGGUGCUAGAAGAGUUGAGGGUUGCUGAUUGUGAAGAGAUAGAGCCUGUAUUCGUAUCGCCUUCCCUCAAAACGCUUCUUUUCGAAUCCUGCAUUUGGAGAAUCUUCUUCAAGCAUACCCCGCUUCUCUCCGUACUAUCUGUCAUGGAUCGUUGUGGAAAAUCUUAUGCGGAGACCAUUCAUGAAGGUAGCAAUCCGGAUAUGGUGGCUCUUUUUGCUUCUCUUCCUGCUCUACAGGAGCUGAAUCUUGGCACUGAAAUGCUGCUAGUAAGUUAAUUGUUUGUUCCUAGACAUCGGUGUUUUACUUGGUUUUCCUUGUACUCAUUUUGGUUUCUACAGUUCCUUGCUGCUGACAGUCAUAUCCCACGCCAGCUUCCUACAACCCUCCACCACUUGAAAGUCAUCAAAAUACCUCAUCUAUUCCUUGACAGCUCAUCACAGGCGCAGCUUUUUAUCUGUCUGAUCAGGAGUUCCCCUAACUUGCAGCAACUCACAAUUGGGGUUGGAAAUGAGAACUUAAAAUCUUCUCUGAACUGUAUAGAAGAAAUGCAUGUUAACUCUACAGAUUCUUUUUGUUUAUAUAGGUUGACGAUUAUGAUGAAGAUUAUCGGGAUUACGAGGUGAUCGCUAGUCUGCACGAGCUGUUGGAACCAGAGAACAGUUGCGGAGUUUGCUGUAUUGAACGCCUUGAAGAGCUUAACAUUCACGAUAGCCGCGGGACAAAAGUGGAGAUGGAGCUGGUGAGGUUUGUACUAGCCAAUGCUCCACUGCUGGUUAGGGUCUUCAUUCAGCCUGCAGGACAACUGAACUCUACAAAGAGACUGGAAUUCUUGAAAGAUGUGAUGCUUUGUAAGCGUAUGUCCGAAAAGGCGGAGGUCAAAUUGACUUGAUACUAUGAAGAUAGCAGAUGGAUGGAGAACAAACACCACUUAUUUCAAUAAAUGUACCGUACAGAAUACAUCAAACGAAAACCACAGCAGUUCAAAGGAGAAACCUAACUCCGGUACAAAACCAGUAAUGCAAUAGACUUUCGAUGUCUUUUUUUGGAACGUGUAAAGAGGAAUAACUUUACACAACAACCUACACACCUCAGGCAGAAUCAUCAUCUAACCUGAUAAAUAUCAAGUGACCACGAAGAAAGACUCAAUUUUUAAUCGGCCCUGGAUUGACCUGCUCGAGACGAGAGGAUGAUGCCGACAAUGAGACCAUACAAUGCCAACGCCUCAGCAAAGAUAAGAAUCAGAAUCAUUCCCACGAACAGCUUUGGCUGCUGUGCAUUAGCCCUGCAAAAUCAGAUAAAUCAAGUAUUCAGAGCCAAGCCAAGCCAAGACAAGCAAAUGAUAUGGUUGGAUCCUAUGAGGAACCUACCAAUUAAUUCAUCUCUUAAGCUUAUCCUAUUCAUAAUGGAAAGAGAAAAUGGACCUAAUUUGUAGUCAAUGACUGUAUAGCUACGAAAAAUGUUAAAAGAAAUGAAACUAGAUUUAGAAGGAAGUACCUGACGCCGGCGUCUCCGACGAUGCCGAUGGCCAUCCCAGCAGAGAGUCCGGCAAGCCCACAGGCCAACCCGGAGGAGAGAUGAGCGUAUCCGUCGAAAAGGUAAUACGAUUUGGCUUUAGGGUUAAUCCCAGUGCUGAUGAUCACAGCGAUAAUCAAACCAUAGAUACCGAGGACUCCAGCCAUAACAACUGGAACAAUCGACUUCAUAACAAGCUCCGGCCUCAUCACCCCCAUCGAAGCCACUCCGACACCGCUCUUGGCCGUCCCGUAAGCAGCUCCCAUACCUAGAUCAUUACCAAAAUUAAAGAGAGGAUCGCAGAUCUGAAAUCGAAAAGAGGGAUUGAAGAGAUUUACUUACAGGAGAAGACGAGGGCCGCUGCGGCUCCAAGGAAGCCGAAGAAGGGUGCAGUUUCAUCGCCGCUGAACGUAGAUGCCAUCUUUCUUCUCCGACUGAGAUAUUCUGAUCACGCAAUAAUCCUUCUUGGAAAGAUGAACAGAGGAUCAACAAACGGUGUCGAGAGAUUUGCAGAGAGAGAUCCUUGGAAAUUAUGUGGUGAGGGGGCUAUGUGAGUGAUAUUAUCAAGCCCACUUUUGGUUUCUGCGAAGCCCAUGGGCCCGUCUUAAUUAACCCGUGAAUAGCGAUCGUGGUAGUUAGUAGUUAGUACUGCCUACUGCGUAUGGUCAAUUUAGUUUUGUACAAUAAUUUUUAUCCUUUUUAUUUUGCCAUAAUCCGGUGUAUGACAACCUUUUAACCACCGGCAAGUUUUUAUAGAAGUUUUCCGGCUACUCUUAACUUCCGUCGGCCAAAAUUAUUUCACCAGUUGGAGUUAUGUGAAUAGUUUGAAAAAAUUAAAUGAAAUUUCGAAUAUCAUAUUAAAGAGAAGGCUAACUCAAUAUGUCUUUAUAGACCGGAUUUUCUUUUCUAAAGAUGUAACCUUUGAGGCUAUUCACUUUUUACGAAAGGGAAAAAUCUAUUUGACCUUGAAAUCACACGCGAGACGAGCGGGCGGGUAAACCUUAAGACCUUACAUUAGUUUUUGGGCAUAAUUUAUUCUUUUCUUUUGAUUUCCUUUUCCAUAAUGGAAAAGGAAUAUAAAUCAAUUCGAUUCGAUCGAAAAACUCGUCUGACUUAUCCUCCACGUAGAAGGGAAUUUUCGAGGGCUUCUUUACUUUUGUAAAAAUAGAGCAGCCUAACCCUAGAACAAAAUAUACGAAAAAGGUGAGCAACAAUAGAUUGAGAAUGUAAAGAGAGAACUUCUUGUCUUCGCACACGAGAAGUAUAGACUGACUAUUUUAUCCUGGAGGCGCCCGGUAGAUAGUCUAUUAUGCGCGAUUAAGACAGUGCGGAAAAAAACAUCUUAAAGAAAGCAACCUAGUCCACGACUCAACCAAAUCGGUAAACCUUGAUUUUUCGUGUUCGGUUUCUAACAUCACCUAAGUGUUCACAUCACCUAAAUAAACACUUAUUUCACCUAGAGGGGCUGCUGAACCAAUCUAGUCUCUUUACAUGUUACAACCACAAUACAGUUACAGUGAUUCAUCAUAACACGUGAAAUGCUGCCUUUAUGGAAACAAUCUGGGUAGUCAUCGUACUAUGACCUAUACACUAUGGUUCGAAGUUCAAUCCUUCCAUCUAAAAAUGACAUCUUUGACUUAGAACUUCAGUAAUCAGAUGGAAUUUUACGAGUCGAACUGCUACACAAAAACUACAAUCCUUAUUCACCUUGUGUUCCAACUAUUAAUCCAGAGUAUUCAGAAUGACUACAAGCAUUUACAUUCUACCGGUGAUUAAACACCAAGAUAAAAUGGCCACUAGACAAAUGCAUUUCAUUCUCCACAUCUAUGAACAAAUUCACAGAACCUGGAAGAGCACUAGGACAGCAAAAUCACUAUUCAUUCUAUCAGUAAAUAAACGGAAGAAAUGAUCGUCGAUUGCGAGGAUACUCCUCGAACUUGUGUAAGUACCACCUCUGUGUCUCUGCUGCUGCAAAUCCAAGAUUAGCGACCUGCAAAACCGUUACUCGCUAAGAAAGAUUCAACCAUACUUCUGGUGCAGAUAAAAAAAAGCCCGAGUUUGAACAGGGAGAGAGAGAACUUGCCACAAACAGAAGAAGCAACCACAUCACAAAGUCGGUGCCCCCACUUGCAAUCAACAGCCCUGCAUAUAUAAUCUGUUUUGCAACUCAGGAGUGAUUAGUAUCCAGUUGAUUGUUUGGUUACAAAGGAAAAGACAUUUGUAUUCGGAUUAACGAAUGAAGUUGCAUACCAUCUCAGCUAAGUAAUGUGGGCUCGAAACCAAUUCAAACCAAUCCCCACGAGGAAUUGCAUAGUCAUUGGUUUGUUCUCUCCGAUUCCCUCUCAAUGAGCCCUUCAAAGAGCAAACCAGAAUAAUGAGUAACGAAGCAAAUUUAACUGCAGACCAUCCCUGUUGCAGUAAAAUGCUAACAAAUAGCGCUCUAUGUUAACUCUCGAACUCUGUUCAUUCAUCCUACAGUAAUAUGCACAGCAUUGCCCAUAAUCGCUCAUUUCCAAACCAAUCUACCCGAUCAUAGAGUUGGAUAUAAAGUUUGAACGAUUUGAUGAACGAAUGUUAGUCGCCAUGAAAGAAUCCAAUCCAUCUAAUUAGUUGAACGAAUGUUAGUCAUCUUAAUUGUUAGAGAAUUCACCAUAACAACGUUCAUUAAAUCAGGCAAGUCUAUUCCUUUAUACUUCAGUAAAAGAAAAAGUUCAUGGCCAUUUCAUUGCCGGUUUCAAAGCAAAAUGAAACGUUAAGCCACAAGCAACACAAACUAAAAGUAGAGAAGGGAAGCUAACCAAAAUUCGAUGACAUCUAAGCUGAUGAAGCCAUCCCAAAAAGAAAACCGCAGCACCAACCCAUUGGCACCAUCCCAGCUUCAAUAUAGGCUUCACAAACGCCCUCCAAUCAGUCCCAUCACCGAAUACAAACGAAGGAUCACCCUGUUUGCUUUUAGCAUUCAGCUCCACAACUUCAUCAGCUGCAAAAUUCAGAGCCUCCAAAGCACAAAAGUGGCAGAGUGACAGUGGAGCAGCAGCGUAGAAACUGAGACACACCACCAAAAACAAUGCUUCAACAUAUAUACCACAAGGCACACAAUUUUGUCUAAUUGAAAGGAAAAAGAGGAAACUCACAACAGUCCAGUUAGAUAGCCAAGAACAUGCAUGCGAGCUGAAGUACUGUACUUGAACACAUAAAUCGUCUCGUAAAGCCGCCUCGAGACGUGAGAUUCCAUCAACAGCAGCAAAAACACCGACACCCAUACCUUAUAUCUGUGCUUCGCCGUCCGGGAAUGCGUCUUGUGCAAAGAUAACAACCGGGAGCCGCCACCGCCGCCGCCGAUCAAGUGAGAAGCCGCCGUCGAGAAGUCCAGCGGAUCAUGGACAAGCGGCGCUGUUUGGGCGGCGUAGUUCCAAGUAAUCACCAGUAAAAAAGUAGUCGAGACCAAGCCUAAGGCGUAGAAAUGCAGGAAAAACCUCUGUGGCACUGUGAACUUCUAAGCUAACGGAAAGAGCAAACAUCAAAUUAGGAAAAAACCUGGAAGAAUAAGAAAUCACCGAAGCUAGCGAUGAUGCUUUUUAAUUUUAUUGGUGUCGUCUCCUUACAUUAGAAGACGAUUUCAUGAUUUUGCCUCUUUUAGCGAAACCUAGUAAGAGUUGGUGGAGAGCGUUCAGUUUAGAGAUGGGCAGUGAAGCGACCAGUAUCGGCAAGGUACCGACGACCCACGCAGCUCCGAGCAGCCGAUCGAGCCGUAUCGCCACCAUCUUUCGCUGGCGAAUAUACUGACUUUCGAAUUCAACGUUCAGGUUUUCGAUGGAAUUGAUAGAAAGUCGAAAUGGCGGAAAAGAUUGGGAGAGACAGUUUUUUUUGGAUAUAACCGCUAGUUCGAACUUCGAACCGCUAUGCUCAAAGGCAGAAGGCGGCACGUAGCACAGACGUGGCCAUUUUAUGAGCUGGGCCAACGUAUGUGUUUGUAAGGCUUUCGGCAGAAAUAAUCUGGCCCAAAUAAAUAGUCACAAUGGCCCAAUUCUUCCGGAGAGGUAAGUUGGUUCACUGGCCUAUAUUCCUCGUAAAUGAACUCAAUAAUGCCACAAAAUUAACAAUUCAUGAAAAAAACUUAUGUACAUAUAUAUACCCAAUACACUCUUGAGGUAAGUUGUUUUUGAUAUAUCAUGUUUAAAAUUAAAAAUCGUGAGAUUCUUAUUUAGUGUUUAGAACAAAGCUCAACACUCACGAAGUAAGGUGCCCAGACAAAUAUCAAAAUUUUUAGUGUUGAUUAUAAGUUAUGAUUUCCGGGUUAAAUUGUGUAUAUAAACCAUACAUUUAACUUUACAAUAAUAACGUUAUUCUGCGAUCUGUUCAAAUAAGGCACGACUUCUUCACACUCACACACUACACGUCGUAUCAUGUAAACAGAAAUCACAUAACUUUUUUUUUCAAGUAUGAUUGUCAUGUCUCGCCUUUUACUAAUUAACAACACAAAUUUGACACGACACAACAUCUUGCAAUGGAGGGAAAUCAUCAUAGAGUUUACCAAAUGUUCAUCAAUGCAGAUCUCAUAAUUGCAAUUAGUCAAUAAAUCUGAAAUCCCGGAUCCGCAAUUUUUUUUUUAAAUAAUGUCGAAAUAAAACGUGUUAUUAUAAUUUCCAGAAAAGUAGAGCAACUUUAGCCUUCAUACUCAUCAAAUGAAUAACAGGAAGAUGAUUAGUUUCAAAAGGAAAGCAAAUGAACUGUAAAAAAUAGAAUGGAAAAGGAAUAAUAAUCUCUUUUUUGGUAGAAAAAGAAGACGAGAAAAUGAAAAGAGAUACAAGUAGGAAAGCAACAUGUUUGUGUGUGCAAUUAUCUAUUUAACCCAGUCAAAUCCAAACGCGUAGUGUAAUAAUAAUAAUAAUAAUAAUUGUUAAAAAAGAAGAAUAAGAUAAAGUAAUAAUUAUCCUUGCACUUUAAUUAUGCACAGAGGGAGUAACAUAUAACAACAGUGACAUCUUCCUAUCUAGAGGAAGAGAUGUCACGGUUGAAGCCACCCCAACCAACAACCAACUUCCAUGUUGUCAAUUCUGAUUUGUUACGUAGAAACGGACCCCCUCCCCCCUAACUUGGCAAUGACACUUGUAAAUUGUUUUAUACUGUACACAUAAGUUUUUGGUUCUGAAAUUUUUUAAAUAUUACGUUCCGGUCGGAAUCGAUAUUUAGUUCGGUCUAAAACUCCACAAUCUACAUUGUAUAUUUUCCUAUAUGCGAAUGCGGGCUGGACCAGUGUAGUCUAGGUUUUGCAGAAUUCAAUCUGGUAUUAGUCUAUAUAUAGUCGAUAAGUUUCAUAAACAAAAAUUCAACAUCCAACCCACGACAUACUAUUGUACAUAUAUUAUGAUGAUUCUAUAAUAAAAUGAAUGUAACUGGAGCCUCUGGAAGUUCAUGAAUUAUGAUUAUCUUGCAGAGAGCAGUUACCAUUUGAAGCAAGAGAGUGAGGCAGGGCCUAGAUGUGUGAUUUUACUUAACAUGAUGAUCAUUCAUUAUGAUCUAAUGGAAAAUGACACCUUACUAGCUAUUAGCUACUGAAUUUAAUUAUUAUUAUUUCAGUUUUAAUCUAAUCCAAUUGAAACAGGCCAAAAUUUACAACUCAAAACAUAUAAUAAAUAAGAAAGUAAUGAAAUGUUGGGUUUUGUCAAUCAUAGUAAUCCAAAAUUGAAAAGUUGGGGUUUUCCCUCUUUGGCUUUCCUUUUCAUGUGUGGUUCUAGAAUGUGUUGAUAUUGUAACUAAUAACUAUGGCACUCAAGGUCUUUGAAAGGAAGCUUGUGUUUCACAGUAGUAGUUUGGGAACAUAAUUAAAAAGGGUGGUGAUACCCAUAUCAACUCUAGUAGUGGAAAGAGAUANNNNNNNNNNNNNNNNNNNNNNNNNNNNNNNNNNNNNNNNNNNNNNNNNNNNNNNNNNNNNNNNNNNNNNNNNNNNNNNNNNNNNNNNNNNNNNNNNNNNNNNNNNNNNNNNNNNNNNNNNNNNNNNNNNNNNNNNNNNNNNNNNNNNNNNNNNNNNNNNNNNNNNNNNNNNNNNNNNNNNNNNNNNNNNNNNNNNNNNNNNNNNNNNNNNNNNNNNNNNNNNNNNNNNNNNNNNNNNNNNNNNNNNNNNNNNNNNNNNNNNNNNNNNNNNNNNNNNNNNNNNNNNNNNNNNNNNNNNNNNNNNNNNNNNNNNNNNNNNNNNNNNNNNNNNNNNNNNNNNNNNNNNNNNNNNNNNNNNNNNNNNNNNNNNNNNNNNNNNNNNNNNNNNNNNNNNNNNNNNNNNNNNNNNNNNNNNNNNNNNNNNNNNNNNNNNNNNNNNNNNNNNNNNNNNNNNNNNNNNNNNNNNNNNNNNNNNNNNNNNNNNNNNNNNNNNNNNNNNNNNNNNNNNNNNNNNNNNNNNNNNNNNNNNNNNNNNNNNNNNNNNNNNNNNNNNNNNNNNNNNNNNNNNNNNNNNNNNNNNNNNNNNNNNNNNNNNNNNNNNNNNNNNNNNNNNNNNNNNNNNNNNNNNNNNNNNNNNNNNNNNNNNNNNNNNNNNNNNNNNNNNNNNNNNNNNNNNNNNAUUUCAUUAUCGCCUCUAUUCUCGUCCAAACAAAUUGAUUAAAAAAGCUAAGCACAACUUAUAUAAUAGUUUGUUGGCCCAAAAAAGAAGAAAGCAAAAAAACACAUGAACCAACAUACAAAUAAAAAAGUUUAAGGAGGUUCCCUAAUAAGAGAAUUAUGCAUUCAUCUUCUACAAACUAAGUUGAUUUUUUAAAAUGAUGAGUUAGCACGUAACCUAUUUUUAAAUGUACCGUAUUGAGCCACAUAAACAUUCCGUCUAAAAAAUAACAGAAUGAUAACUAAAAAAACAAAAUUAUAUUUUAAUAAUAUCUGAUAAUCAUAAAUUAAUAUGACUGCAAACUUAGUAAUACCUCAACGUAUUUAACUCCACUCAAGAUUUCAAACUCUAACUGCCAAGAAUGUGGAAAGGGAAAUCAGCAAGUUACUCAAUUAAUUAAUUAAUUGAAAAGGUGGUGGGUGAUGUGAUGUCAACUAAAGGGCCAAGCUAGGGUUGAGAUCCUAAUAGGGUCCCCUUCCGAUUCCUUUCUCCGCUUACGCUAACCCCCAUUUCCUACCCGCCUUAAUUUCUCUCUUUUCUUUUAUUAAUUAUAUGUAAAUUUUGCAGCCGAGUUUCAUAAUUUAGCUCUAAAAUUGAUAACCAGCUGAGUGGUGGCUGAAGGGUCCACGAUCGGUGGGAGAGCGAUAGAAGUUUGAUGAUGCGGUCCGCCGCCAUGAAUGAUAGCCACGGCCGACCACCACCCUCCUAUAUGUGGACUUCUUCAACUGAAAUCUAACUCUUUAAGCUAAAUUUUUCACUUUUUCUUCAUAUGUAUAGUAUACUUUCGAAUGAUCAUAUCUUCUUGUCCAUUAUAUUAUAUUACUCUCGAUCCAACUUCUAAUUCCAACCAGCUGGUUAAUUCUGAACAGAGAAAGGGUUCGUCAAUGUGUAGAGCUUGGAGUAGGCUUAGGAUCAAUACAGGGUUCUUGUGGUUUACAAACAAUCAUGAAAACAUAAUUAUGAUAUAUAAUGAGAUAUACGUCGGUUGGCCAAACAAGUUAUGGUUUGUCGCUCAAAAUGGGUUAAUUGAUUGAUUUGAGUAAGAAGUCGGCUUGAUCGAGGCGAGUUUAGGUCGGGGGUUUGUUACCGGUCAAAAUAAGAGUCAAUCAUCCAUCAAAACAGCAGAUAACCCAUUCCAACAUAACUCUUUACUAGAACCACUUUAUUGUUCUACCCGAUUCUUUAAGACGGAACAUAUCUCUUAACCCUAAUCCAUCCAUAAGAUAACCAAAUUCCUUGCCAGCUGCGAAUCCCGGGCGCCCAACCCUUCAACGAAGUCUCUAAGUACAAGGAAAUACAAUUCCAACGAACGUAACAAACGGUCAUCAAAACCUUUAAACAGUCAUUAAUGGGUUAAAACAGUCUGGUUAGGGACCAUUUUAAUCAGACGGUCCCAUAAUUACAAUCCUUAAAACUAGCCAUUAAGCCGAAUUCUCUCAGGUGAGAGACAUUUAUCCUUCCAUCCAUUAAGCCGAGCAGCAACUCGCUCUUCUAAGAAUCGGAAACUAGCCACCUUGGAGCGAGCAAAAUGAGUUGGCAGACCAAGAUAAAAACCCGCAAGCGCAUCAUCCGGAACGACCAGCUGAAGCCGCAUCUCAGCUUGCAAAGAAGCUGGUGUAUUCGCACUAAAAGUGAUCGUGGCAACUAAGUUGAUGUAAUGCCAGAAAACAGCUAUCAAAGUGGAUUCCCAACAAGACCCACGCAGUUGAAGAAUAACUAACAUGUAUCUGUUAAUUAAGCCAUCCAAAGCCGACCACACUACAUAUACUACUGCAUAUGCAAUCAUAAUUAUAUAGAGGUUCACAUCAAGGUCGGUAGAUUCCCCACUCUCCAUUCCUAGAUAACCCCCCCUAAAUUCUUCUUUAUUAACUAUCUAUUUCUUUACAGAAUCUAUGUAUAAAACCCAUCUUCUUAAUUACAGUGAUCAUCAGAAAAUUAAUUAUAGCAUAUUUCCUUAAUGCAAUACACCUCAGAUUGAAGCUAAGUAUAUAUAUAAUUUGUUAUAACGGAUGAAAGUUUAUUAAUUUAUCCUUUGUAAUGUUCGCAUGUGCCUAAUGUGCAGGUUAAUCAUAAUUCAUGUUAGGCUUCAACAGUAUUUAUCUUUUUGGUUACUGCAUCGGUGGCACCGGAAACGUAUGUUUCAUCUUCGUGGUGAAUAGUCACAACUUAGGCAUAGAAAAACACAGCGUACACGAAUGUAUUAAUGCUUAUAAACGAUAAAUAAAUUUGAGUGGACAUAAUUUAUUAUUGUCUUUCUUUGAGAAAUUUUUAUGAUGUAUUGGUAAUUCAAACACCGGUAAUCGAAAAUCGUAACAACGCAAUGCAGAUCACACGAUUCAAUGAUUUUUUUCCUUUGAAACAGAUGAGAAAGUAAAAAAAUCGGGAAUUAUGUGUGAGAACAAUUGAAGGAGAGCAGAAUACAUAGGAAUCAUAAGGUUACGACCGAACCGUUACAUCUCUUAGGUAUGUUGGUUAGGAUUGGCGGCACGAUCCGAAAAACUACAUCCUUUUAUUUGAUUUGAAUUGAAAAACCGACCUGAUUUAGCCGAGGUUUUGGGUUGAAUCAAAAUCAAACCAACCCGCGGUUGGAUAAAAACACUAACAAAUAUGAAUUUCACCCUUCUCUUUUCAUCCUUCCUUCAUUGACACCAUAUUCCUAUUCCUAACAAUCACCCAUAUAUAUGAAUGGAGAAUGCUAUAUUUGAAAUUUGUACAAAAACCUUUGUAAUUUGUAACUAAACCCUAAUAGCAUAUGAAUAAAUAAAUUUACCUUUGAACUUACGUAUGCUUGGCCUACGUACGUUUUCUUUACCAUGUCCGGCGAUGGUAUUUCCAUCCCCACGAGAAUACGCAAUGCCUUGUCCGGAAUAGAUUGUCUACAAAGAAUCAUAUAUCUCUCCAAUAAUCUUUCCCUUUAAGUUAAUUAGUCACUCCGCAUAUUUCAUCUUACUGGGUUGUAAUUACCUCCCCGAUCUCUGCCUCAUCACAUUAAAUUAAGAGGUAGAUCGAAAAAUUGCUUCAAAGGCAAUGGAUUUAUGGAACGAUUUUCAUUCCAGCUUUUUUUGAGCCAAACAACAAGCUACUCAUGAGUGGUUUGGUUUGUUAAUAGUCCGGUUCGAUCCUCGCGGUGAGACAAGAAAAUAAGAAAUAAUAAGAAUAAAAUGGUGUAAUUGCUUUGCUUAAUUGGAAGAGAAUGUCGGAAUAAAAAACACAUUUUUUCCCAAGGAAAAAAGGAAUGACACGGAGGGGGGUGGGACCCGCGAGUAGAUAUUGGGGGGAGGGGACUGGGGACAAGCAUCAAAGCCAUGCGCAAUUAAACGGUCCUCCUCCUUUCUUUCUCCUCCUUCACACACACAGAGCAGUACUUUCUUUCUCUCUCUCCCUCUAUCGCCAUCUCCAAUCUUCUUUUAUAUUCGUCUCUCAUAGCUUCCACUGAACCCUUACCUAGCUAUCAUAAUCUCCUCUCCCUUUCCUUUGGUCAUCAUCAUCAUCUUCUUCUUCUUCUUCUCAUCUUAAUUUCUUCCGUGUCUGUUAACGAACCCUACCUAGAAUUUCCCAGAAGUGUUAUUGCAGUACCAUAAUUCAUCAGUAGUUCAACAGGCCGCCACCGCGUACACCUCACUCCCCGUUCAAUUUGAUCAGGUAAUUCAUCAAUGCCUUGCAUUAUUUUUUCCCUUAAUUUCUUUCUUUUUUGGAAGAGGAAAGGUUGCUAGCUACUGCUGCUAACUAUCGCUCGAAUGACCCUUUUUUACUGUUAGGCUAUUCCUUUGGCUUAAAUUGAGUACUACAAUAAAAUGAAGUUUUAGUGACUAUAAUUAAGUGACCAUUCCAUUAAAUAGUCACUGAUUUACUGGUCACUAAAAGUCAUUGGUGACCGUUUCGGCCUACCUGUGACCGUACAAUUACGAAAAACGCUACUUACCUCCAGGUCACUAAAUUAAAACUGCAUUUUUUUGUAGUAAUUGACCAUUAUGUUUAACUAGAGUGAUUAAUAACUGAAUUAGUAUGUCGUAAGGUAGGUAGCACAUCCCCAUUUCAUAUAUACUUGAGAUGUAUCGAUCUGUCUCCUAACCCAAUUGGUCAAACAUUUUAUAUGGAUACACUACCAACAACAAAUGCUGAUGCUGAAAACCUCUCUUCUGGGUUUACAUUCAGUUGUAGAAUUAUAUAUAAAGGUAAGCCUUCAAUCUCACUAACAAAGACGACUGACUGUACAUGACAAACCCAUCUCAUCUAAGUCUGCAUAAAAGCAAAAACCUAAGUUUUCAGUUGGGACCGGGGCUUGGAAUGAAUGUCUGCAGCAGUCUGAAAGUCAUAGCUGAACUCUCCCCUCUGUUACAAUUAGCUUAGCUAGCUAGACAUGCAUCCCCCACCAAACAUGCAUUCUUCUUUCUUCGAUCUCGUCUUAUAAACCAUCACUCAGUCAUGUAACUCAGCUCAUCACAAUCACAUCUGUCUGCCAAAAGAAUAAGGGAUCAUAUUCAUGGGUGCAAAGUGAAAAAGGGGUCCAGUAACUAGUAGCAUCGAAGAUCGCAAAAGAAGGAAGAAAGAUGAGCAGUAGUAGCAGAGUAGUCUGGUGCAAUAUGCCAUCAAUAUUCUAGACAAACAGACAAACGCCAGUCAGAAAAAAAAAAGUGGGUUAUUUACACAGCUUUGUUUAUUAUUUCUUCUUCUUCUUCUUCCUCUCCCUCUUUUCACGGUGAUCAUCAGCAUGACAUAGAAGAAUAACGACAACACAUCACUCUGCACCAAGCACUCUCUGUCCGCCUAAUCACUAACACCAACACUCUCUUUUGCUUUCUCAUCUUUGCUUCAUCAAUGGCUUUUUAUAUCCAGUUCCUCCUGAAACAAAGCUCCUUUCUUUCUUCCUUCCUUUUCCACAAACGCGCGUGCCCAUUCUCACUUUUGAUGACGUCAUCCUUCUUCUUCCUGAAUUCCUCUCUUUCCAUGCAUUAAUUGAAUAUUAGACAAGAUAACAUACAAAUUAUAUCCUGUUCUGGGGAAACCAAAACCCUACCAGAGCCAUGUUCCUCUAGUUAAUUAACUAUAAUUAAAUUACCCUCGCCAAAAAAGUUGCUUUUGUUUGCUUAUGCUUUUUUAAUUUAAUCUAGUGUGUUUUUUUCUAGGUUUUUGGGUUUGUUGGGAAUAGUUGAAUUAAUAAUUCAGUGUUUAAUUACGAAACGUUUAUGGGUUUUACGGUUUGUGGGGAUUGGGAUGAUUACUACUAUAGUAUUAUUAUAUAUAGUAAAUUAAUUAAUUGAUUAAUGGGGGGGAAGGGAAUGGGAACCCCGUUGUAGCUUGAUGCAUCAUUUCUACCAUUCAGCCAACAGAAGACAACAUCAUUGCUUACCCACGUCGACCUCCAUACUUGUGUUUUCACCCCCGUUCGUUUCUCUAUCUAAGCUGCUAAUUAACCCUGCACCACUCACCGCCUACUUAUAUUAUAUAUUAAUAAAGAGUAAAUUAUUACCGGCGGGCCAACUAACUCUUAUCAUUUUUUACAUGUUCUUCUUCUCAUCUCUCUUUCUCUCAGUCUGUCUGAUACUAAUAGGAUGGAAACAAUGGAGUCGUCAUCCUGUGUGCCGCCAGGGUUCCGGUUCCAUCCGACCGACGAGGAGCUUGUGGGUUAUUACCUCAGGAAGAAAGUCGGUUCCCAGAAGAUAGAUCUUGACGUCAUUCGCGACAUCGAUCUCUACCGUAUUGAACCCUGGGAUCUCCAAGGUAACUAAUUAACUGUACCCUUUUUUGUAAAGUUUUUCACUGUGGUUUUUGUACGUACAACGAGUUAAUGGGGUUUUGGUGUUAUGUUGUAGAGAGGUGUAGGAUUGGGUACGAGGAGCAGCACGAGUGGUACUUCUUCAGCCACAAGGACAAGAAGUAUCCGACAGGGACAAGGACUAACAGAGCUACAAUGGCUGGCUUCUGGAAAGCUACUGGUAGGGAUAAAGCUGUCUACGAUGACAAAACCAAGCUGCUCAUCGGCAUGAGGAAGACCCUCGUCUUUUAUCAAGGACGAGCUCCCAAUGGCCACAAAACUGAUUGGAUCAUGCACGAGUAUCGCCUUGAAUCCGACCAUGAUGCUCCUCCCCAGGUAAAUUUUUGUUUUUUUAUAUUUAUUUUACGAAUAUUCUCAGUUUGGAUAAUUCAGUUCUUUUCUUUCUUCCUUCAUUUGAAAAUAAUCGCACUAUUAAUAAAAUCUUUAAAUAUAGGUUAUUAAUUAUAGAACAAACCAAUCUUAUGAAAUGAAUUUCAAAGUCAAAUUAGCAAUCAAAAGAGUAAUUCGGCUUGUGUCAAUCGGUUAAUGAAAAUGGAAAAUAAAGAAAAUACCAACACAAAGCUACUAACAAACGUUAUCUCUCUUGCUUUUGCAUCACCACUAGAUUUAUUACGUACACACCUUAGAAGAACUCACUUUUAGAAAAAAAAAAUUGAAUAACCUAUUUAUAAAUAGUUAUUCAUUUCAUAAAAAAAUAGUUAUUCAUAAAAAUAUUAAUAAUUAAUUUUUAUUUAACAUUUUGUUUUUGAUUAAAAAAGCUUGGGAUUAAACGGUUUUAACUAUUGGAAUUAACCAAUUUAAUACAUAAAUUAGCUUAAAUUAUAUUGCUUAUCACAAUAGUGCAUAUAUCGUAUUAGUCAUCUUGAUUUUCCCAUUUGAUUUGUAUCCUUGCUUUCCAGAAAAAUAGUAACUCAAAAUGAAUGCGUGACAUUAAGGUCAGAAAGUAAACUGAUGGCUUUCAUGGCUAAGCUAGGGUAGCUCAUUAUUAGAACUAAGACUAUUGAUAUCAUGGAUGGUUUGGAAAAGCUAAAUUGGUGCCUUUUUACCCAGUCUUUUCUCUUGGCCUUUAGAGGACAAAGAUAAUCAGGAGGAGAUAUAUAUCCUCAGUCUUUUUGGAUUAACUAACCCUCUGGUCUGAACUUUUCUUCUAUCCCCCCCCCCCAACCCCACACUUCCUUCGCCAACCAUACUAAUUGUCUCUGCCUUUAGACCUACAAAGGGUUGGGGUCACCUUGCACAAGAGUUGCAACUUCAACCCAAUAUAGAUGAUCAUGCAUGUUAAAUUCUGUUCAUGUUCUUUAGAUGAAGUAUUUCGAUGAUAUUUUAACUUAAAUAUCUCAUUUUAAAUUAUUUAUAUCAAAAUAACUAGGCUUGGCAUCUUGGUCCGGAAAUCGGAAAAACCGUCUGAAUUUGAUCUGGUCAAUGCGGGUAAAAUUUGGUUUGACCGAAUGACGGAUCAGAUUUGGAUUAAUCCGAAUCUGAAGGUGACGGGCGACGGGUGGGUAUCGGAUUCACUGGUAUCCGAUCCGACUCCAUCCGAAAGUAUAUAUACCGGCAAAAAAAACUAUAGAUUAGUUUGUUUUAUGUUUUUGUUGGAGGGAUUAUUGUUUGGUUUAUGUUGCUAGUUACUACAAUGGGUUUUGCUAAUGAAGGCUGUUGAGCAAAUUUAGUAUUUUGGAUAAUUUGACGGUUGUUUGGUUGAUUUUGCUUUGGUUUAAAAUCGGUUUUCAAUCUUAGAUUAGUAUGUUUCGGAUCAAAUUUGGAUCUCCGACUAAACCCGAAAUUCGGAUUUGGGCGGGGAUGAUAUCAAAUCUAAGUCUGAUUGCUAUAAUCGGCGGGGAUUCCCCGAAUCCAAAAGUACAACGGGUGGGAAAUGGAUUCAUACCAAGUCUACAAAUUACUGAUCGGAAGGAGUUAUUAGAAUUUCGACUAAUUUGAUCUUUUUGUUUACCAAAUGGCAUUAAAUUAACUCAUUAGCCAAAACAAGAUAAUUCAUACACCAUAAUCUUGCAAAAUAACUCAUUUAAUCUUGCACCUCAUCAAUACCACAUUCUAAAAAGGAAAACAUACAAAAUAACUCAUCUAAACAACCUUUAAAGUACAUUUCUUCGAUAAAGUGAAGAACCAAUAUAUACCAUUUUUUGGAUGAAUAAUCGAUUUGUAACAUUCAUAACUCGAGAUGUUGAAAGAGAGAUUCAGAAUUGGUAAUUCUAACAUUCCCUAACAGUAUAACAUUAGCACUUAACUGUAAUCGUCAAUUCUUUUUGGGAUCGGGGCUUUGGUUUCUUCUUAAAAAAUUAUCUUUGGUGUGUGUAUAGGAAGAAGGAUGGGUGGUUUGCCGGGCAUUCAAAAAGAGGAGCACCAAUAAGAGAAUAGAAGGAUGCAGCAGCUACAACCUCCAGCAGUACGAAGAAUCAUCAAACGACCCAAUAAUUGAUCACCAUUACUACACCGCACCCCCUCCGCCACGUCAGCCAUCCAUGCCACGUCAUCACCAGAGCAACAGCUUCUUGAUGGCACAGCAGGGCAGUAGCUUGUUGUGCAAGCAGGAGAUCAUCCUCAACGAUACCAUUAUUCGACCUGCAGAUACUACUAACACUACUUUCAGUACUGCGUUUCUCGACGAUUCAGCGGAAAGCUUCCUGAACGAGCUUCCCCAACUAGAAAGCCCUAACUCUCUGCCGUUGAUGAUGAAGCGACCAAUGACGGCGUCCACUUCAUCCUCGGCAGACAUUGACAACACCAACAAGAUGAUGAUUGGCGGGAAAGUGAGGGAUUGGCGGGAUCUUGAUAAGUUCGUGGCUUCCCAGUUGAGUCAGAAUGAUGAUGAGUUAUAUUAUAAUAACAAUGUCGGCGGGGAGAGUAGUAGUGGUUUGGAAUUGCCGGAGUUGUUGGUGUUGGAGAGUGAGAGUGGCUUCUUCAGCUCCAACUCUGGACCUUGUGAUAUUGGGAUAUGUUUAUUUGAUAAAUGACAAGAAUGUUGCUGCUUUGAACUUACUAAUUAAUUAGGGCUUAAUUAGCAUAUUAUUAUUAUUAUUAUUCACGAGCCAUAUUCCGAAGGUGCUUUUUUUAUAUAUAUAAUUGAUAUAAUAAUUCUGUAUAAAAUGUAUGUUUGUGGAGGAAGUGAAAUUUGAUUCUCUAUCCCUCUUUAUAUGAAUUAUCAUACAUAAAGAUUUGUUUUUUAUGUUCUUCUCGCAGUCACAUUAUUUUGGGCAAAAUUCUCACGCAAGUUACAAUGUAUAUCUCACAUAUUAACCAUCUCAAGUUGUCCCAAAUCGAACCACGAAACUGUAACAUCCUAGGUAAACACUUGAUCGAGGGACAAAAUUGAAGAAAUACAUGGAAGGUGGGUAAUAAUGUAUUUGAAAGGAAAGGAGGGUAUGUAUGCAGUAGGACUAAGGAGUGGGCUUUUUAGAAGUUAAUGGUGGGCCAAUGAACUUGUCUAGCAUGCGCCUGGGCAUGCUUUGUCGACUCUCUUUGUUUACAAUGUAACACAAACCAAUUUCACUUUAGGUUUGUGUUACAUUCCAGCACCAGCAGAACAAAAUCUUUUAUGUUUUUGAAUAAUGUCAAGGCUACUGUAUUCACGGCCAUUGAUUAGCUAAGUUGCAGCUGUAUUAUUAUGGAAAUUCUGCUCUACUAGCUUACUUGCUAACGUAUGGUCUGUCUCCCAAACUACAAAUCUUCAUGAAAUAGUGCAGUUGUUGGUGAUACGUGCUAUAAAUUCGAAUAUUUAGAUGGGUAGAAUUAGUGUUAAUGUUUGUGCCCAGUAAUUGAUUGGACCAAAUUUAAAUUGUGUGACGUGGGACCAUUAAAAAAAGGCUAAUUGCCAUGCCUAUGGAUAUACAGAUGAGUGCACUUUUCACCCUUUUCUCCCCUAAAAUAAUGUACCACUUGUCACUAUGUCAUUAUAUUACUUUGUUUGUAUACGUAGCUAAAGGACGUUUAGUUUGCCCAUGCCCAUUAAUUUGACCUAAGUAACACAUCUGCCCAAGGGAAACUUCCAAAAUACAAUUGACUAGUUUGUAAGUUUUAUCCCAGUAAUGUCAUUUAUGCUUGAUGUCUGGUGUAUUACAAACUACUAAUACUUGCGAAGUAACACACCCUACUGACCAGAUGUCAUACUUGCUACAAAUUAUUCCCAGCUCUAAUCACACAUAAAAAAGUUUAAUGAUUAGUAUGCACCUAAUGACAAGGUUUGACUCUCCUACGAUUCACGAGACUACUUCCACGAAGAUAAAGUCAUGUUUUUCUUGACUUUGUCGGGAAAAUAAAUCAUUUGAGUUUUGAUAAUGCUAUGGAGAAUAGUCUUUGUAAGGAACAUUAAACAGUCAUGUCCAUAAUAAAACCCACAUCACAAAACACUGUACACGCCUUUAUGCAGUAAUUGGUCUGAAUUUGGUCAGUGUGGAAAAUUGACACUUCAACCGAAUUUUUAUGAAAUGUGCUUCAUGAAUCAUAAUGAAAAAUGAUUGAUUAUGGAUAACCCAAAUAAAUUCCCCAGAAUCACCCAUGCUUCCUAUUCUUCUUCGACACAUAACAGUAAACAAUGGCCAUGGAACCACACCAAUGAUAAUCAUAUAUACAAUUUGAUAUCCUAAAAGUAAUGAUACCCUCUAUAUUAAAAAAAUUAAAUUUUAAGCAUUUAAAAUCAAAAGUCUUUAGAAUAAAAUUUUAAACAUUAAAAAAUGAUGAUAACACCCUCAAAACUAAAAAAUGAUGCUAACACUCCAAACAUUAAAUCCUAACCCUCAAACACUGCAUCAUAAAACUCAAACUCUAACUUUUAUUAAUAAAUCAAAAUUAAUAGACCCUAAACCCGAAAUAUCAAACUCUAAUCUCUAAUACUAUAUCCUAAAUCAUAAAUAAAAACUUACAACUUCAAAAAUCAUAAUUUUAAACAUAAAAUAUACGAAAAUGUGAUAUAAAGAUUACCGAUAUCUCUAAGAUAUCGAAACAUUUCGAUAGAUAAAAGUCAUAAAUCCAAUGGUUUACCCAAAACUAGAAAAUUAACCAAAAGAAAAGCUUAACCAAUUUUAUUUUAUUUUAUUUUGGAAAAAGGUGAACCAAAAUUGGGACAAAUUACAGCCCAUAUUUUAAAGUCCCUCUUUCUCCAAUGAAAGCCCACUGUUAGUUUAAGAUCCAAUCAAGAAGGAAUUUAUUGGGCGUAGACUACAAUGGGCCUUUUGGAUGCUCAGCCGAACAAUCAGGCGGGCUCAGCUUCUCCGGGCAUAGCUGGCCUGACAUGAAAAUUUCAGCGACGGGAAUUUACCCGGAUCCGUCUGCCAAAUACGGCGGCCGAUUCACAGUCACACUUGCCAAUAUGUCGGUUAAAGUAGUUAGAUGAACAGCUAUUUCAUCAAGCAACAGCUCCCCCAGCUCGUCGGAACGUGGCGCUAGCAGAAGAUAGUCGGCAGGACGGGGAAUUUCUCGACGGAGGAACUAUAAGAUGGGCGCUUCCGAAUCCACUCUCUCAAUUUCAGAGGUAAUGAUAACCCCUCUUGUCAAUUUUCUCUCGCUGCUUUCCAGCAAUUUGAGUUUUUGAAUUCGUGUAACUUACACUUCUGUUCCAACUGGACGUGAAGAAAUACGCCGACGAAAUUACCACAGUUUCUGAGCGGUCAGAGAACGUGGAUCUCCUCUCCGAGAGGCUGAAGUCGCUCAAAAUUGUAAGUGUCGGGUGUUGCGAUUGAAAAAUUAGGUCUCCCUGGAUAGAGUUGAAAUUUGAAUUUGUUUAUCAAUGGGAUUGUAACUGAUUUCCUUAUGAACUAUGGAUUGCAGUCGAAGCCGCUGCUAACAUCUUCUCCGAAAGAAGGUAGCUUAACUGACAUUCUUGUGAGGAAGCCCUCUUCUUCUACUACUCCCGGUGUGUAGAGACGUUUUCAUUUCUUUUUGGUAGGUUUUGGUUCGUUUCACGUUUAUAGUUUUCUUGAAUUCUCGAAACAGAAACGGAGUUUCGUUGGUGAUGAAUGUAGGUGUAGUGGAUCCUAAAGUGCUAUUGGACCUCUUCUCAAUGUAUCGCGUUUGGCAAGAGGAAAGGGCACAGGAGAUCAGCAAGAAUCAGGUGCUUCAUCCUUCUUGCUCCCAAAAUUCGCAUUUUGUUAUGCUUUAUGGAGAUGGUUGCUCUUGCAUCCCAUUAUUUUAGGGUAGGUUUUUCAAUAGGAAUCAUGAUUCCUAGGAGAGUCGAGUUAAGACUAGUUUGUUAAUAAGCGCAAUCUGUUCCUCAAACUCACCCUAUGCUAAUCACUCAACCUUAACAUGCUGUGUUCAGCGAAAGAUAUCUUGGCAUGAGUCAAGAACUUGGUCCCCUACGACAGAUUUAUGGUUUUUCAUAAGGAUUAGUUACUUCUUCAUAGACGUAGUGAAUUCGCUGCAGUUUUAGCAGUUCCAUUGGGCCGUGAGUUCCUUGCGACCACUCAUUUCCCUAUAAUGUGUUGGAUAUCCUCUCAAUGGUUUGAGUUGUAACUGAUAUGAUCUGAUUUUUGCGUUGAUUAAUCAGUCUGGCGAUUUGAGAAGUACAUAAUGUUCCUAUAAUCAUCUUUUAUUAUUAGAUAUUUAUUGAAGCAAAACAAGUUGUUAAGAGAUAACUGUUGCAGGAUGAGAUCGAAAACAAAAUAGAAGUAGUAGAUGCUUUGGCGCUCAAACUACUUCAGCGGUUCAAUCACUCAGUCUCAACAAUGAGAACUACUUCUCAACAUCUGUCAGGAGGUAAAAUAAUGCCAUGGAAACUAAACCUUUCCUUUACCCUUUGCACCCUCAUUAAACCCGAAUAUGAUCUCCCCCUUCACAAUUUCCAUCACACUUUGCCGUAUGGUUCUAAUUAAACCUUCUCUUCACAACACAUGCAGUUCAUCCCCUGCAGGUGGAGAUCGGCGAGUUGAAAGGGAGGAUAACGGAGGUGAUCAACAAUUGCGACGCCCUUUGCAAGAGAAUCGAGAAGGAAGGGCCAGAAGCUCUCCGUUCAUCCGUUAAGCCAUUCGUCGUUCCCACUCUUACUGAAUCAAACAUUGGUAAUGUUAUACAUGGAAACAAGCCUUCCAGCCAAAGUUAGUCACUAAUUUUCCGUGGAUAUUCGAUCCUUUUCAACCACACAGCUGUAUUGACAUAGAAUAACGAGGGCAGCUUGAACAAGGUUACUACAAGGGCUGUGCUAUUCUUUUAUAGUCGAUAAACGCAGUUCAUAGGGAUGGCAUCAACUAGUUAAAAAAAAGGUCAUACUUAACAGUACAUGCUAAGGUUCUUUCGUCUCUCUAUUUAUUAUCAAGUUUGUAACUGUACGAAUUCUGAGUUCCAUUGAAUGUGAGAUUUGUACAUGCACUGUCUGACAUCAUAUUUCUUUAUCUCUACUGGUUCCGUUUAUCUGAUUCAGUAACAGCCAACUCAAAUACCCAAUCUGCGACGAAAAAGUGCUUCUAAAAAGGAACCAAUACAGCAAGAACAGAGCAGAACUAGAAUACGAUACUUCUGAAGCCUGGAAACAAAUUUGACUACUGAUAUUCUGGAAAUAUUAACCCUGGAAACCCAAUAACAAACCCCAAAUAAGGUACAGUCUCUGCCUCUGCAUCCAUAAACAACUUCUUUAAGACAUCAAGGCUGCUGCUGGGCAUCCAUGUAACCAGCAUCAACCAGCACUUUCUCCCUUUUGGCCAACUCAAUGUCUUCAUCCACCAUCAUCUUCACCAGCUUCUCGAAUCCAACUUUGGGCUUCCAUCCCAACACCGUCUUGGCUUUUCUGGCGUCACCCUUCAGGUUAUCAACUUCCGCCGGCCUGAAAUACUUCUUGUCGAUCUCAACGUGAUCCUUCCAGUUCAGCCCCACUGAUCCAAACGCCAACUCCAGAAACUCUUGAACGCUGUGCGAUUCCUCAGUAGCCACCACGUAGUCGUCGGGCUUCUCCUGCUGUAACAUCAUCCACAUCGCCUCAACAUAGUCUCCAGCGAAGCCCCAAUCCCUCGACGCCUGCAGAUUCCCCAAGUACACUUUCGUCUGCAGUCCGACCUUGAUCCUCCCCACGGCUCUCGUGAUCUUCCUCGUCACGAAAUUCUCCCCUCUCCUCGGAGAUUCGUGGUUGAACAAGAUCCCGUUGCAGGCGUACAGACCGUACGCUUCCCUGUAAUUGACAGUGUACCAAUGCGCAGCACAUUUGGAUGCAGCGUAAGGGGAUCUAGGGUGGAACGGAGUGGUCUCCGAUUGAGGAGGCGGAGUGGAUCCGAACAUCUCGGACGAUCCAGCCUGGUAGUACCGGAUGUGAGCGCGGCCGGUGUCCAGGAUAUGAGAUCUGACCGCCUCGAGGAGGCGGAGGGCUCCCGUGGCCACAACGUCAGCGGUGUAGUCGGGGAUCUCAAAGGAGACGGCCACGUGUGACUGGGCGGCGAGGUUGUAAACCUCGUCAGGGCGGAUGGUGUCGAGCCAGCGGCGGAGGGAGGAAGCGUCGCUGAGAUCGGCGUAAUGGAGCUUCAUCCGAGCCUUGUUGAUGUUGUGGGGAUCGAUGUAGAUGUGGUUGAGUCGCUGGGUGUUGAAGUUGGAGGACCUCCGGAUGAGGCCGUGGACCUCGUAGCCCUUGUCGAGGAGGAACUCGGUGAGGUAGGAGCCGUCCUGGCCGGUGAUUCCGGUGAUCAGAGCGAUCUUUAUUACCGGCGGAGAUGCGUCGCCGUUGGCGGAUCCGGAUCUGGAAUUGUCAUUGUCAGUAGCAGCCAUGGUAUGGGGGGAGGGGAAUCGAGAGAGGUUCAGUUGACGGAGUGAGGAAAUGGAAGAAGACGCGGUUUUGCUGUAAUGGAGGGAUUUUGAUUUUAUAGACGACGAGUCUGGAGAGAAUUUGACGGAUUUGCCCCCCGAAUAUGUAAAUAAAUCAUGCUUCCAAGUAUGGUUAUUUAUUAAUUUCAGACGAAACUGGAUCUCGAUUUCAUUUGCGACUUUGUACAGCGGAGAACGUUAUGUGCCUAUUCAAAAGUAUAAACUGUCCACAGUGAAAAAUAUAAACACAUAUAUUUGGCUUUCUGUACGCCAUUUCACAACUAGUAGCCUGCUAUAAACCAGCAAAUUGGUCACAUAUGGCAGACAUGUCAAACUGUAAUUUAUUUGUAAGGAAGCCAAAUCUAUAAGGUUAACGGGAUGCACAUUGUGACCCCGGUCACGAUCAUUGCGUUCCUCUCCGUCUCAUCUAACUUCCAGUUGAGGAUUUUCAACUAACGGAACCGUCUAUUAUGUGUCGAUGAUUUUUUAUCAUCUAUAAUUAAUAUGACUUACCGCUGCAAUGAUUUUUUGUAAUUACUGGCCAUGUACCAUAUCUCAAGUCCCUGAUCAGAAGAACUUGAACACUCAAUUAGACAUUAUGCAGUGGAGGGCUUUGAGGAAAGGAUGAGUGUUUCAAGCUUUGCUUACUUAUUUACAGUUUUCGAAUGUCAUGAUAAUUGAUACCUAUUAUUAUGAAUUUAAACCUCAAGUAAUGACGCAAUUGGUCAUUAGGAGAAACGAACGGCCAUCGCUAAUUUGACUAUUCAAUGGAACUUUUGGGGUCAUUGGUAUUGUAUGUUCUAUGGAUUGACUAUUCUUACUAGAUUUUUUCUAUCUCGUAUGCAUCGGUGACGGUCCUUCAACGUCUGCUAUUGCAGCUCUGUUGAUACUCUAAUCGGCAAUGUACAGUGAUAUCAAAUUGAUGAGUGUAAUGAUAAUUAGUGCAAUCAUUUAAAUAGUUAUAGAUCAAUUAUAUCGUAAUUGAAUUAUGUCAUGUUGUUUUAAUGAGUAGUUCAAUAUUUAAUUGAUAUUACCGUUAAAUCGAUACAAUAUUGAAAACAAUACUAAUCGAGCAUCUAUGGUGAAAUCAUGACAUUGUUGGGAAAAAUUGUGUUCCUUUUUUUGUCUACAAAAGUUGUUUCCCUCUUAAAUUGUUAGGGAAUGAUGAUUCCGGUCACAUUUUCUUUUAGCGAUGUUGGGAUGUUGUUGAUUUUGAUUUUGUGGAAUUUGUUAUCAACUAUUUCAGAAAUUUUGAGUUGAUUUUGGAUAUUAGCUAGACAAUGAAUGUAGUUUUCUUUGAAGCACCUUCUUACAAUGUUGUUCCAUAGAACUUUUUUUUUAAUAUAUUCAAAGGCUAUUUUAUCCUAAAAUUUAUUAUAAAUUUUUAAUUGUAUUCACAUUGCCGUAUCAAUCAGUUUAACAAUUUAUUUAAUGAAUAAUUUUCAUAAUUCUCCAUUCCUAAUUUGUUUAGCAAUUUUUAUUCAUCAUUUAUAUAUUCCUUAACAAUAUUUUUCCACCAAUAAAUCGUUCAUAAUAUAAAUUGUAAUCAUAAAUUUUUUUUCUUAAAAAAUGGUUUAAUUGCUUAUGAUGACAUUAUUAAUUAACUUUUUAAAUUAGAAAAUUUUCUAAUUUAAUAAAUAUUUUUCUAUCUCUAAUAAUUCCUAAUGGAAUAAUUUACCCUUUGUUUCACCAUACCAAUUGCUGGAGUUUAGGAAUAGAAAUGUUCAUAUCCUCUCUUUGAUAUCACUCAUCCUUGACAAAAUUCCUAGUAAAUUGAAUUGAGGGAUCCAUGAAUCGGCUCAUUAGUCUCAAUCAGACAAGUUUCAUUUCGAGUCGUUAGAUUACAAAAAUAUUAUUAUCUUUUUGGAGGUGAUGCAUACCAUGAGAUUGAAGACCGAAAAAUAAGGAAUGCUAAAAAUUAAAUUGGAUUUUGCUAAAGAUUAUGACAUGAUUGAUUUAAAGUUUGUGGAGGAUAUUUUUGUGCAAGCACACCUUCCAAACAACAUUCGUAUUACCAUUGUCUGUAUCCAUCAUCCAAAUUCAGUGAAGUUAAGUUUUAACGGAACCUUUUAAACAUGGAUGUGAUUUCGGCAGAAAUGUCAUCUUUCCCCUAUGUAUUAUUUAUUUGUGUCACUUCGAUAGAAAUAUCGGUUCGCCCGGACCGAUUCUGAAAAGCUGAAUAAUAUCUAUAGAGUAUAGAGAUCGCUUGGGUGUGCCAAAGGUUGGGAGUAGUCUGACGAGAAUGAUAAACAAUAAAACAAUUAAUAAAAGUAAAGUAUUCGUCCAACUAUUACUCAGAAAAAAAGAAUUAUAAAUUAGAAUAAUAUGAUUCCACAAAUUGGACUUUUCCAUUUUCGUUUCCGCUUUCUUCCGGUCUUAUUAUCACGCGCCUCUUGUCCGGAGAAAUUUCAGAUCUCUUCCGAGUCUUGACUCUUGAACGAGUGAAGGACUCGGUAGUCGUCUGUAAUAAUUUCGUCUUCUCUAGCUCAACCCGCUUUCUCCGCUUCUCAGCUCCAACCCUCCAAAUCCGGCCGCUAGAAUCUUGGAGCAGAUGGCUAAGAGAUCCGUUCCUCUCCUAAAGCAACUCCUCUCCUCAUCCACCUCCUCUCUCCGCGAGUCAUGCUCCUCUCGCCUCACCUCUCAACGAUCCGUCACCUACAUGCCCCGUCCCGGCGACGGUACUCCACGCGCCGUCACUUUGAUUCCCGGUGAUGGAAUCGGACCUCUCGUCACAGGCGCCGUCGAGCAAGUCAUGGAGGCGAUGCNNNNNNNNNNNNNNNNNNNNNNNNNNNNNNNNNNUUCAGGUGAUCGUGUCUCGGCAUAUUGUGGUUUUUUAAGAAGGGGGAGGGAAUAUGGUGUCGGUCUCGGCAUUCCUGCUGAACCGCUCUUCCGAUCUUAUAUUCAAAGGCUAUUUUCAUCCUAAAAUUUAUUAUAAAUUUUUAAUUGUAUUCACAUUGCCGUAUCAAUCAGUUUAACAAUUUAUUUAAUGAAUAAUUUUCAUAAUUCUCCAUUCCUAAUUUGUUUAGCAAUUUUUAUUCAUCAUUUAUAUAUUCCUUAACAAUAUUUUUCCACCAAUAAAUCGUUCAUAAUAUAAAUUGUAAUCAUAAAUUUUUUUUCUUAAAAAAUGGUUUAAUUGCUUAUGAUGACAUUAUUAAUUAACUUUUUAAAUUAGAAAAUUUUCUAAUUUAUCAAGCUUAAAAGGCAGUUAGGGCCGAAUUGGUCUUAUUCAGGGGAAAGAGCUUCGGACAGCAAGAAGCUUGCUAAAGCCAAAGUGGACCGGCUUAAUCAAGCCAUCAACCAUAAUUUGACCAUUUCUUACAUUAACCAAUUAGGUAAAAUAUAUUGAUUUUAUUAAGACCAAUCAAGCCAUCAAGGUCACAGGCUGACUAAUGAUCUUCCUAUUUUCUUCUUCUAGAGAAAAUAGGCAUUUACACAUUUAUAUUAUGUGAAAUUUACAUCAACAACGUUAUAUAUAAUUUAAAAUAAAAUGUUUUCUCGGAUGCAAACUAUACAACAACUUCAAUGUUCACAUUUAAUAUAGUUAUUAUACAAUUAAAUUAGAGGCGGAGAGUACAAUAUAAGUAUAUAUCCUCUAAUUUUUUUCUAUCACUUACUUUCUUUUUAAAGACGAGGAAUGCCCUAAAUUAAAUUAAAGAGACAGUUCGAGGAAUAUGUUAUCGUGAUGUAGCCAGUAGGAUAUGUUUUAUACAUGCGAGGAAAAGAAAUGUAAACCCAAAUCCAAAGAGUGACCAAGACUAACAAGAAAAUCAAAUGCGCAAUGAGUUGGUGAGUUGGUGGCUCAAUAGGAUUAUAGUUUAUGAAAAACUCGAUAAAUAUACAAUUUAGUUUAGAUUAGAAUAAUAUGAUUCCACAAAUUGGACUUUUCCAUUUUCGUUUCCGCUUUCUUCCGGUCUUAUUAUCACGCGCCUCUUGUCCGGAGAAAUUUCAGAUCUCUUCCGAGUCUUGACUCUUGAACGAGUGAAGGACUCGGUAGUCGUCUGUAAUAAUUUCGUCUUCUCUAGCUCAACCCGCUUUCUCCGCUUCUCAGCUCCAACCCUCCAAAUCCGGCCGCUAGAAUCUUGGAGCAGAUGGCUAAGAGAUCCGUUCCUCUCCUAAAGCAACUCCUCUCCUCAUCCACCUCCUCUCUCCGCGAGUCAUGCUCCUCUCGCCUCACCUCUCAACGAUCCGUCACCUACAUGCCCCGUCCCGGCGACGGUACUCCACGCGCUGUCACUUUGAUUCCCGGUGAUGGAAUUGGACCUCUCGUCACCGGCGCCGUCGAGCAAGUCAUGGAGGCGAUGCACGCUCCUGUCUACUUCGAGCGCUACGAAGUCCACGGGGACAUGAAGAAGGUGCCGCAAGAGGUCCUCGAUUCGAUUAAGAAGAACAAGGUCUGCUUGAAAGGAGGACUCGCCACUCCCAUGGGAGGAGGUGUUAGUUCUUUGAACGUGCAGCUGAGGAAGGAGCUUGAUUUGUACGCUUCACUGGUGAAUUGCUUCAAUCUUCCUGGAUUGCCAACUCGCCACGAGAAUGUUGACAUCGUCGUGAUUAGAGAGAAUACAGAGGGUGAGUACGCCGGCCUGGAGCACGAGGUCGUCCCCGGUGUGGUUGAGAGCCUGAAGGUAUUGGUCAUUUCUUUCACUUUCGAUCUGCUUGUUUGUUUGAUUGUGAAGGUUUUGAAUGAUUGAAUCCUCAAUUCCAAGGUUAGAAGAAUUUUCAUACUAUGUGUUUGUUAGGUGAUUACGAAGUUCUGCUCAGAGAGGAUUGCCAAGUACGCUUUCGAGUAUGCUUACCUGAACAACAGGAAGAAAGUGACUGCUGUCCACAAGGCAAACAUCAUGAAGCUUGCUGAUGGCUUGUUCUUGGAGUCUUGCCGAGAGGUUGCUACCAAAUAUCCUGGUAUUAAAUACAACGAAAUCAUCGUGGACAAUUGCUGUAUGCAACUUGUUUCCAAGCCUGAGCAGUUUGACGUCAUGGUAAGGCAUCUCAGCUCCAGUCCUUAUAUUCAGGGAAUUCUCUACUGUAGCCACUCAUUAGAGUUGAAUCAUGUUAUAAAAGUUUCUUGCUGUGAAGUAACUUACAUUUCUUAAUGCUGAAAGGUUGUUAAGUAACAUUCAAUUCCAGACUUUGGAAUUUGGAUGCAACAAGUGAAAUAACUUAUUUAUGUGCGUCCCACUUAUCUUUAGCUGGUCUGAGCUUGUUGAUCGAUGUGGUAUUGAGCUAUAUCCUGUGAAGUAACAUGUCUAUACUUUCGAUGUCAAACAACUUAUUCCUGUGGAUUCCGGGCCUGAUUACCUUAAUGCUGAUGAACUAUAUAUUUUGUUUCUGUAGCUGGUGCAAUAAUACCUGCCGAAAGAUCUUUUCGAAACUAGGAACUUUUAUGUAAUGCAUCUAGACGACCAUAUGUUGGCAUGUGAAUUGAGAUGACAGAGUAACUACUGAUGUGUGAUUACCAAUAUCUUUGCGAAACACUGAGUUGACAACUGUUUUGUGAUGAAUUGAUCAUUGCCUUGUUAUCCACUUCUCUUACCUGAGAAUUCUCAAGGCUGCUAAUGAUACUCCGAUGCUCAUUGAGAUUGCUCUCUCUCUCUCUUUUGUAGGUCACACCUAAUCUUUAUGGAAAUCUAGUUGCAAAUACAGCUGCAGGUAUUGCUGGUGGCACUGGAGUCAUGCCUGGAGGUAAUAUAUUGCAAGUUUCUGUUUCUCUCUUUUCCGGUUAGUUUAGCACCAAAACAGUGAUUUACUUGUUUAGGGAUGAUGUGUACCGAUCUAAUUUUGUCAAUUCCUAGCAGCAAAUAAUGAGCGACUUUUCUGAUGAUAUUCGCUUAGUAGGAUGACUAGGUUGUGAAAGUAGCUUAAGCGGAAUCAUCAAACCUGAGCAUAUGGUGUUAUUAUAUACAUUAAUAAUCUCGUUCUAAGGUUAUUAUAAACCUUAACAGACUCUUGUGUAUGGAUGUGCAUCGUGUAUCAAUUUCUUCUUUGUCAUUCUAAGGGGGGACUUGGGAAAUACAGGUCGUUAGUGUAUAAUGCAAGUCUCAGUAAGCAGCGAGUACUCAUCCUUAAGCACCACUGAACUCUUGUCCUUCUGUCAAACAUCUUCCCGUUUUGUUCAAUUUGAUAUAGUUGAAAGGAUAUUCAGCAAGAUAUAACUUUUUUCCUCCUAUCUUGUUGUUUAAAGGCUACACCCCUUUUGAUUGGUUCUGCAGGUAAUGUGGGAGCUGAGCAUGCAGUGUUCGAGCAAGGUGCUUCGGCAGGAAAUGUGGGGAAUGACAAACUAUCGGAGCAGAAGAAGGCGAACCCAGUAGCUCUGCUGCUCUCAUCAGCCAUGAUGCUAAGGCAUCUUCAGUUCCCAUCGUUCGCCGAUAGAUUGGAGACUGCUGUGGUAGGAGUGAUUUCAGAGGGCAAGACCAGGACCAAAGAUUUGGGAGGCACUAGUACCACCCAAGAGGUCGUUGAUGCCGUCAUAGCGGCUUUGAAGAACUGACAUCCCCCGGGAAACACUUGCUUCUGAGAAAAUAGACUUGUGGAUUGAGGAAGAAAUUUCCUUACCGUUCAUUAUUCUUCUACCUUUUAAAAAAGUUGUUGACAUUUCCUGCAUGCGAGAGAAAGCUGUGCAAAGCAUAUCUGUAUUUUGAUAUUUCCCCACCAUCUCAAUAAUUUUCUUACUUGAAAAAUGACAAAACAUGAAUUGUUACUUGGAUCGACGGGAUGUAUAGGUUGGUUCUGGAUUUGUUGCAGUUAUGCAGUCUGACGAUGGUUACUCUUGUCGUUACCAAUCUCUUGAUUUGUUCUCCAAAGGUUAACUUUGGUUUUGUGUUAUCAAAGUCAGAGAGUGAUCUUGUUUAGGAGCGUUAUGAGACUGAUAAGUUGCGUCACUCAAGACCAUCGGUCUCUUUCGGGUGGCACAACUUAUCCCAGGCCAUCUAGAAUCACUAUCUUUGUCUUCGGGAUAUAAAUUCUACAAAUAUCUAUCUAUUGGAUAUAUGAUAGAGUUAAUUUUACUUAAUUGUCAAAUAUUUUAAUAACCUUGAAAGUUUGAUCAGGAUUACACAUUAGUCUCAUAACUUUUAGAUAUUACGAUGAAAUUUUAUUAUUGUGAAACGCGCGGAUUAGAACAUGGUACUAUAAGCACUUGUGGCAGCAUUUUCGAGCAGAGUUGCCACAUCACCAGUGACACAAAAUAUAUAAAAAAUAAUAAUGUCUUAUGGUUUGAUUCGAAUCAAUGGAGCCCAAACCAGAAUUCUGUUAAAGGCUAAACACAAAUAGCAAGUAAUAACUUUGACAACACACACAUUAGCUCAAAAGGGAGAAGAGAAUUCACCAAAUGCAACAUCUGAUUACAAAGGUAUCGAUUGUACAUCUGCUGUUUUUGGACAAACAUGAACAUCCAACUCAAGGCUUCAACCUCUGGUUUCUGUCAACACAAAGCACAAAAGCUGCCCUAGAAAGCAACCAGCUUUACAGAACCAUAUAUCGAGAGAAGAGUAAAGAGCACCAAACGAUGAACUAAAGUCGGGGAACUAAACCCAUCUCCAUUCUCUCGUUAUCCCAAUUGAAUCACAUGCCUCCCAAAAACAAAAGAAAACAACUUUUUCCCAACUCUUAUCCAAUGAAACAUAAAUCCUAUAGAUACCACCGUGCUCCACACAAACCAAACAAAAAGAUAAAAUCAUAUAAAGGACAGAGACGUGCAAAAAUACAGCUCAAAUCACAAAAUAAAAAUCCGAGUUACCAUUCCUCAAAUACACCAUAUUGUUGUUAUCAAAUAAGACAUGCAUGCAGGGGCGAUUUGGUCCCAUUUUGUUGUUAUGAAUUAAAUUUAGGAGUUGAUGAAGAGGACGUGGGAAAUCAAGUUAAUACAUAUUUAUUGUACGAUAUGACUUUUGAUGUGUACACAUUUUUUAUUUUCAAUCCUGUUUGGGCCCAUUAAUUAGUGCCGUUAUUAUAUAAUUGGUGCAUAUUUCUAAAUGUAGAAUGAAUGCAAAUGAAAAUUAGUUGCGCUGCAUUUAAAAGUGUUUUGAAAAAAUAAAUAUUUCAAAAGGGCAUUAAUUUUUAUGGCAUUUCCAUCCUCAAAUUUUAGUUAUGAUUAAAAUGAAGUGGAGGGUGAUAUAUUAACAAUGAUUAGGGAUGUGUAUGCACUUGCUAAAUUAACAAUCUUGUUAAUUUUUAGAAAGUCAGUUAAUAAUACCACAUAAGCUAAAGUAUAAUUUCCAAAAAAUAUAUAUAUGAGUAGAAAAUAUUUUAUAGAUUAUUUAUUUAUUAUUAGUAAAAAAUGGUAUUAAAACAGCAAAAAUAAUCAUUAGAAAUUGUUAAAAUUUGUAUUUGCAAGUAUGAAUAUAGUUAAAAAUUGUUCAAUAAAUUAAUUGCUAAAAUUGAUAAUAUAACAAUAUAAACAUAAUUAAAAAUUACUAAAUGAAUUUUAGUAAUUGGCCUAGCUACCCUAUCGCUCACCACUUUUUUUAUUAGUUUUGUUUGAUAGUCAAAUAAAAUUGGUGGACAAGGGACCAAGGCCCAAUGGGUAGUGGGGAGGAGUGGGUGGAAGGCAGUCUGGAUUCAUCAAUGUGUGAUAUGUACGUAACACUAACAACUACAUUAUUGUCUCAAAAUUUAAUUCCUGACAGCGCCAAAGUUUGCUAUACAAAAGGAUCACAAAUCAGUCACAGGCAUCACAACAACAACAACCAAACCAAUUGGAAGGAACACAUCAAAAGCCAAGAGAAAGUGUAGAGUUUUUGUUUCUAUCAUUUCGUGUCGGAGCAGUACUCUGCACUCUCAAUUCUCGGCAUGACUCGAACAUGGUGUCGAUCAUGCUAAACAUACCGAAGUAAAACCUCCAACGCUAGUCAUAAUCCAUGAUUCUUCUACUGAUGAUGAUACUUCUCAAUCAUCACUUCCCAAUAAUUCGCUAAAUUACGAAAUGCUGUUAUCCAACGGGGACAUCGGGUUCGAAAUCGUUCGACCGAAAAGCAAAUUCGAUCCGAUCAGCGUCAACUACACUUCAGGCACAACAUCAAGACCCAAGGGAGUCGUGUACAGCCACAGAGGAGCAUAUCUCAAUUCCUUAGCUACACUUUUCCUCCAUGAAAUCAGCUCCACCCCUGUUUACCUAUGGACGGUUCCUCUGUUCCAUUGUAACGGGUGGUGCCUUCCCGGGGGGAUUGCAGCUCAAGGAGGCACAAAUAUCUGCCUCAGAAAGGUCACUCCAAAGGCAAUCUUUGACAACAUAGAAAUUCAAUGUGACUCAUUUGGGAGGCGCACCAACCGUGUUGAACAUGAUCACGAAAUCUUGCAUUCGCGACCAGAAGCCACUUCCUCACAAAGUGAGAGUGGCUAAAAGAGGAUCAUCAGGCUCACCUCCUCCUCGAAAAGUCAUUUCGAAGAUGGAAGAAUUAGGUUUCCACGUGACUCAUUUAUACGGCUUAACAGAAGUGUACGGUCCCGCAACUUAUUGCGUAUGGAAACCCGAAUGGGACGAUUUACCUCUCGAAGAGAGGGCAUAUUUGAAAGCGAGGCAAGGAAUGCAGCACGUUGGAAUGGAAGAUGUCGACGUGAAAAAUCCCGAGACGAUGAAGUCUGUGCCUCCCGAUGGCGAAACUAUGGGUGAUGAGUGGAUAUUUAAAGAUGUGGAGGCUACUCAGAGGGAAUACAGUGAUUAGUGGAUAUUUAAAGAUGUGGAGGCUACUCAGAAGGCUUUCGAAGGCGGGUGGUUUCGAAGCGGGGAUCUGCUGUUAGGCAUUCGGACGGGUAUAUAGAAGUGAAGGAUCGUUUGAAGGAUAUUAUAAUUUAUGGAGGGGAGAAUAUUUGUACGGUUGAGGUGGAAACAGUAUUGUACACUCAUCCGGCGGUUGAUGAGGCUGCUGUGGUUGCACAGCCGCAUGAUCAUUAGGCGCAAACUCCCUAUGCAUUUGUGAAGCUGAAAAAAGGGUUUGACGACGUGCGUGCUGGAGAUAUAAUUGAGUUUUGCAGAAGCAAGUUGCCUCACUAUAUGGCUCCGAGGACGGUCGUUUUCUAGGAGUUGCCGAGAACCUCGACUGGGAAAGUGCAGAAGUUUAUAUUGAGGGAGAAAGCAAAAGCCUUUCCUAUGGCUAAAUGAUAAUUGUUAAACUACAUAACAUUGUCUGUAAGAAAUGCAGCAACUUUCUGACUAAAAUAUUACAAAAGCAACUGUUUCAUGUAAAAGAUAGAUGCAAAGAGGGGUUUUUUAUUUCUGGGUUUUGGUUAAUUUUGUCUAUGAUGCUGGAUGCUUGGCGAGAUCAAGGCGAAAGAUGCUGUCAUGGAUGAGGUUGCCAAGAUACAAAUGAUUUCCGAUCUUGUAUCCAGUGGUGAUGAAGCGAAGUUCAGCAUCAUUGUAGUGAGCAACUGGUUUCCCAUCCAAAUCCACCAUGAAAACCCCGCUGUUCUUCUCCAUGUGCAGUGGUUUUAUGUACUUUUCGAACAUUAAUAUAGCCUUUCUCAGUAGAGGGUGUUUCAAAGAAAACUCUAACUCGGCAGUAAUUCCCUGUCACCAUUUACAAAACACAGAAAAAUAUAUGCUUAAUACAGUUCAGACAAGGCUGUUCGGUUAAAAAAAACUCGUUCCAGACUCGACUCGAGAGCGGAACUUGAGCCACGGUAUGUACGACUCGAUAGGUUCACGAGUUGGCUCGUGUUCGAAUUUAAAUACUAGCUCGAGUAUAUGGCUUGUUAGUAGACUCAAUUUUAGCAUAGUCUUUUUAGCUCAAAUGGCACUCAUAAUCAUUAUGAUUUUAAUGAGCAAAGUUUGAGUUGAGCUUUGGCUUGUCAAGGCUAGUUAACGAGUCAGCUUGAGUUCGACACUAGCUAAAAUUUUAUAGUUCGAGCUCGAAUCAAGUUUGAGCAAAAUUCAGCUCCCCUUCUGUUUCUAAAAAAAAUAGAAUGAGCCAUCAUCAGAAACUGGAAAAGAAAGUGGUGGAUUUUACCGCGGGGAAUGCAAUCCAGUAAUGUCCAUGGCCAUCAUAAUGGAUGUUAUCAGGCAAUCCAGGCAGAUUAUCAGCAAAUUUCUCCAGUUUCCCCUUCUUCUCCCCUUUUAUGUAAUAUUUCCUACACCUUCUCCUGCAAUCAAUCAUCUGAAUCAUUAAACAAGUGUAAAGCUCAAAACAGAGAGUUUGGGACUAAAAUAUCGGGAAAAAAACAAAAAUUUUACAUGGGUGUUUCACAGAAGACAAGGGAUUGUUGAUCGGGCGAAAUCUCUAUUCCAUUAGCAAAGUAGAGAUCUCGCAGCAUCACUGUAGUCUGCUUAGUCACAGGAUCAUAUCUCAGCAGACGACCAUGGGGCUUCCCUCCCAAAAUAUCGACUACGGAAUCAGCCACGGUGUAUUCGUAAGAAGCAUCCGUGAAAUACAAAGAUCCAUCCUCUGCAUCUAUGGCUACGGCGUCCGUCAACUUGAAUUUCACUCCCUCUGCUUCGUCCGUCAGAAGCUCGAUUCCUCCGUCCCUGCUACUCACUCUCAGUAGCCCCUGUGUAACGCCAAUUGGAAAAAAAUAUCCAGAAAAAACGUAAAAAAUCGUAACAAACCAAAGAAGUGAGAAACUUGUGAAAAUUGAAACGGGACCAUUACCAGAUUGAGAUAUUAUUAAGGUUGGUACUCACGAAAAUUGAGUGGGGCCACUUACCUUAAAAGCAUCGGCUACGAUCAAAUCGCGGUUAACUCGGUCUAGGGCGAGUCCGAGGGGUCUGCCACCGGUGUUGACCCAACUAGACACGGUUAUAUCGCCGACCGAGUCAUUGACCGUGACUCGCUUGAUCCAACCGUCCGCGCACCCGGUGUAGAUGACUCCGGACUCGGAGUCGUAGGCGAUGUCCUCGGGUCCGUUGACCUGACCCUGACCUACUAACUCGAAGCUUUUGAGGAUGUUGUUGUUUUUGGAUGGCGCUUUCAGGGGAGGCUGAGUCAAUUCGUGGAGGGGGAGGUGAAUCGGGUCGUAAGAGUCUAGUUUGUAGACGACGGCGGCUAAUAGCACCGGGGUGAAUAGCACGAUGAGGAGGGAGGUAGUCGGCCAGCUGGCGGAGGUCCGGCGACUCUGCGGUGUUGGCUGAGGCGGAGGCAUCGGGCGGAUUGGGCGGAGGUUGGUUACCGGGAGUUUAAAAUGUAGUAUGAUUUGAUGAUAUAGGUGUAGGAUAGACUGAUAGAGGUGAUUUGGUGAACGGAGCUGGUGAUAUUUCGUAAGAUUGAUGACGAGGACUGAGGAGAGAGAAGCGUUUAGAUGACGAGGACUGAGGACAGGAACAAAAAUUAAAUACUGAAACGAACUCGCUCCAUUUUUCUUGUUGACCCACUAUAGGUCAUGUGACGUGGCAGGUUAGUUACGUGGCUGUUACUUGUCACACCUCUUGCCACGUGUAUUUCUUGACAUUGCCCCCAUUUUGCCAAUAUAGCAUAUUCUAAUUUUACAGUUUUAUUGUACGUUAGCUAACCUAGAAAUUAAGAUAGCACAUAAAAAUAUAUAUUUUAUUAUUGUGUGAGCAGUUUACCGUAUAAAAUCAUCUACAAAUACAAAUUAUAGGAGGGAUGCAUGAGCAACAUAUAACAUAUGUUUCGUUGUAAUAAGAUGGAAAGUACCAACUUCAAAUUUUGUUCAUAUUCACCUGAUAAUUUUAUACCGAAAACAUCAAGCAAAAUUUUAAAUAUAACCAACAUUACCUAUUAAAAAAAAUAUGUUAAUCCGGACAAGUUUAUAUGAGAAAGACUUUGAUGUGAUACAAUAUUGCUGGAUUCAAAUAAUAUUAUAAAAAUNNNNNNNNNNNNNNNNNNNNNNNNNNNNNNNNNNNNNNNNNNNNNNNNNNNNNNNNNNNNNNNNNNNNNNNNNNNNNNNNNNNNNNNNNNNNNNNNNNNNNNNNNNNNNNNNNNNNNNNNNNNNNNNNNNNNNNNNNNNNNNNNNNNNNNNNNNNNNNNNNNNNNNNNNNNNNNNNNNNNNNNNNNNNNNNNNNNNNNNNNNNNNNNNNNNNNNNNNNNNNNNNNNNNNNNNNNNNNNNNNNNNNNNNNNNNNNNNNNNNNNNNNNNNNNNNNNNNNNNNNNNNNNNNNNNNNNNNNNNNNNNNNNNNNNNNNNNNNNNNNNNNNNNNNNNNNNNNNNNNNNNNNNNNNNNNNNNNNNNNNNNNNNNNNNNNNNNNNNNNNNNNNNNNNNNNNNNNNNNNNNNNNNNNNNNNNNNNNNNNNNNNNNNNNNNNNNNNNNNNNNNNNNNNNNNNNNNNNNNNNNNNNNNNNNNNNNNNNNNNNNNNNNNNNNNNNNNNNNNNNNNNNNNNNNNNNNNNNNNNNNNNNNNNNNNNNNNNNNNNNNNNNNNNNNNNNNNNNNNNNNNNNNNNNNNNNNNNNNNNNNNNNNNNNNNNNNNNNNNNNNNNNNNNNNNNNNNNNNNNNNNNNNNNNNNNNNNNNNNNNNNNNNNNNNNNNNNNNNNNNNNNNNNNNNNNNNNNNNNNNNNNNNNNNNNNNNNNNNNNNNNNNNNNNNNNNNNNNNNNNNNNNNNNNNNNNNNNNNNNNNNNNNNNNNNNNNNNNNNNNNNNNNNNNNNNNNNNNNNNNNNNNNNNNNNNNNNNNUAUAUAUAUAUACUAUAUGUGUAUAAAGUUUCAUUUUCAUAUUAUUAUAAAACCAUUUAAUUUUUUUAUAUUUAUUUGAUGCUUCACAUACUUAAUACGUAUUACAUGUUUAAUAUACAUAUUUUAAAAUUUUGGAUAGAUAUUUUAAAAUUUUUUUAAUAUUUAAUAAUGAAUACAGAACUUUCAAAUGUAUUUAAAAAAACAUAUAAAACCUGAAUGUAUUAAUACUAUACUAUACCCAUUACCGUAUACCGCAUUUUACUAAAAAGCCCCCACCAUGCAGCCCCUUUCCUCAUUCCCUCCCAUCCCAACAUCUGCGUAUUAUAUAUAACGAACUUACCUCCUCCCCAAAUCUCACAUCACAACCUUCACAAACACUUCUAAACCAAGAACCCACAAGAAAAAUGGAACGUUCAAUUCGAACCAGUAGUACUCCACCAACUCUCGUAGUUACAUUGGCGCUCUUGUUUAUAGCUGCCACCGCAGAGAACUGCGAGAGCCAAGCAGGGAACGCGGUGUGUCCGGGCGGCCUAUGCUGCAGCCGGUUCGGCUGGUGCGGCAACACUGCGGAUCACUGCACAAAUGGCUGCCAGAGCCAAUGUACUCCGCAAGGUGAUGGUGGGGCCACCCCAACCCCGACCCCAUCCGGAGGAGGAUGAGGCCCAUAAUUACCCCAGCAAUCUUCGAGGACAUGCGCAAGCACCGUAAUGACGGUGCUUGCGAGGUUAGCAGGUUCUACAGCUAUGAUGCUUUCAUCGCUGUUGCUCGGUGCAUCAACGGAUUUGGCACAACCGGUGAUCUCAACACCCGUAAAAAAGAGCACGCCGCUUUCUUGGCCCAGACCUCCCACGAAACCACCGGUACAUACAUUCUACAUAUUUUAUUUACUUUUGAUAGUUCAAGUGACAAAUUAUUGAAUUAAUUAGAAGGUAUAAGGAAAGGGUGAGAAUUGGCCGUGUUAAACUGGACUUCGAAUAAUCUAAAAGUCUGAAUUAAAUCAAAUUAGAUUAGAUUUGUGUCUAUACAAUUGAUAAUACAUAGAUUUAGGUGUUCUGACUUUUUGGAGUGAAGUCCGAAAUGUUUUGGCCCAAACCGGCCCAAACCAAGAAAAACAUAUAAGAAAUAUUAGACCACUGUUGGAGUAUCAUAAUUUCAAUAAAUUUUAUUUUUAUUAAUUCAGUAAGAAGACUAAAGUAAUAUACAUAACAACAAUCAACAAAUAAAAUGUACUUCAAUGAUGCAUAUUAUCAUAGGAGUGGAAAAUUCGAUCGUAUUUAACCCUAUAAAUCGGACUUUGACAACCCCAAAUAUUCGUAUUAAAAAAAAUCACACCUAAUUCAAGUUUGUAUAAACCACAUCGGUUCGAGUUUGAUUGGAUCGGACAACCUGAUUCUUUACCCUCUGUCUUAACUUUUAGUUGCAUGUUCCAGGAGGAUGGCCAACGGCACCUGACGGCGAAUUUGCGUGGGGUGUUGUUUCAUUAGAGAGGGAUCGUUCAACUUAUUGCACAAUACCUAACGAAUGCCCAUGCGCUGCUGACAAGCAAUACUACGACAGAGGACUCAUCCAGCUCACUCCGUAAGUAUAUUGUUUAUUAUUAUUAUUGAUUUCAUAUAUAUCAUAAAAAAAACUGGAGACUAAUUGGGUUGACUUUGUAUGGUUAACAACUAUAACUACGGGCUAGCAGAGAGCGCAAUUAGAUAGGAUCUGAUUAACAACCCGAAUUUGGUGAUAAUCAACGCCGAGAUAUUAUUUCCGACGGCAAUUUAGUUCUAGAUGACUGCUCAGGCGAACAAACCGUCAAGCCAUAACGUGAUUGUUGGAUAGUGAAAUCCAUCUGUGGCCGACAUGACAGCCAACAGAGUUCCCGACUAUGAGAUCAUCACCAACAUUAUCAACGGCGGUCUCGUGGUGCCGACCCUCGUGUGGAAAAUAGGAUUGGGUUCCACCAGAGGUUCAGCUCCAUUCUCGGAGUCAACCCUGGCGGCAAGCAACAAUCAAACCCCCUUCAAUAAAUAGGACAAUCAGCAUCAUUUCGUUACUGGUCCAUGCGAUAUUUUAAUAAUUGUUUAAUAUUAAAUAGAGGUGCCGUAAAACUAAAGGAAAUAGAUAAGCCAAUAGCAGUAAAUUUGCAAUUCAAUUAUAUAUAUUAAUUAUUAAUAAUAAUUAAAAAUUCUUGUAUUUUCCAAUUUAUAAUAAUUAAAAAUAAAAUAAUACAAUGAUCACUUUACUUGAUUAAUUUCAACCAACAUAAAAGCAUUAAUGUUUUUAUCUCAUCAUAUAUUUCAAUGUUUGGCCUUAGGAUUUUAUCUUUUGAUUACGAUAACAACUUCAACAUACUUACUCCAUUACCAAAUAAACUCUAUUUGGUAUACAAACAACCUAAUCUAAAAGGGCUUAACAUGGUGAAACCUCAAUGUUCAACCAUUCCCAACAUACACGUCAAAUAUUAGCCCAUUUAAAAAGUUCUAAUUUUCACAACAAAAUUUGUCAAUUUCCAAAGAAAAUAACUAUGGAAAUGAACUAUUUUGACAUGAAAACUUCAAAUUUUCAUAUCGACUAGUAUUUGACAUGCAUGUUGGAAAUAGCUUAAAAGCUAAGUUUCAUCAUCAUGACCCCCCUGAAAUAAUUGGAUUAUGAAUUUUAAAAUCAUAUUAACUCGAUAUUGUUUCAUCAUGUGAAGAAAUAUUAUCUAACUUUAUUUCCCUAUUAUUUGAAGAGUUUAACAUGGUGAAACCUCAAAUUUUAAUCAUUCCCAACAUGCAUGUCAAAUAUUAACUAAUUUGACAAUUUGUAAAUUUUCAUGUCAAAAUUACCAAUUUACGUGUCUUAUAUUAUACAAAUGGACCAUUUUGAUAAGAAUAUUUCAAAAUUUUUAAAUCGGCUAGUACUUGACAUGCGCAUUGAAAUUGGUUAAAAAUCAAGUUUCAUUAUGGUUAUCCCUGUAAAUAAUAACCAAAUAAAAUUAAAAAUUAAUAUUACUUAGUGUUAUGUUAGUAUAAAAAACUAUCAAAUCAGCUUACUUUCUACGUAUAUGCGAUGGAAAAUAACUAAAAUUCCAAACUAAAAUUUUCAAAUGAGGCUACUUACCUACAAUACCCUAAAUAUGCAUAAAUCCAAAUAAAGGAUUUACUAGCUAGCUGGCAAAUUACGACUUGCAAUUUCUCAACAUAGAAAGGUAGGAUUUGUGUAGAAAAAGGAUAAUGAUAAAAUUAUGAGAAGUUGUUGGCUAAAAUGCAUACGCAUUGCGUCAAAUUAAUUCUCCCCUUAUCCCCAAAUUAACCAAGACAACCAAAUUUCUCAUCACGUUACUCGACUCUAUACUGUUGAAGGAAUGAGUCAGUGAAGGCGUGCGUCGUCAAACCUUUUUAAUUUGAAUUAGAAAAGUCCACACCUCCACCUUUAAAUAAUUAUCCCCAAUUCUGUUAUAUACAAACCCCACCCCGCAGCCCCUUCUGUUUUAGGAUACAUUGGAUAUGAAUUGUAUAAAUAAAAUAUUAAACAAUUAUAGGUAAAUACAAUACACAAGAAUAAUGCGUGUAAAAUAUUACCUAUAGGGACGUGAUGCUAUAUCCAUUUUAAAAUCCUAUAACUUAUAUUUAAUAUCACAUUUAAUAUACCAUAAAGAUACUCGCUUGAUCGAAACAUGCAUUAAGCCGGAUUUGAAUCGAAAUCCAAUCGUCGAAUAACUAAUUUAAUUUUUUUUAAACGCAAUACUAAAUUAAAAUAUACAAAAACUCAUUUGUUGUGUUCUUUUUAGUCAAAACAAAUUGUUCUUAACUAUUGAAUGCGCUACCAGUCAUUUUUAAGCCGAAGUUAAAAUUUCCCUAUGCCAAACUUAAACUAAAAAUAUACUUAGAUUUACGGCUCAGGGUCGAAAUUUCCUUAAGCCGUAACCUCCCGAUAUUCACCCCCGACGAUACCGAGUACAAAAUGCUAAAUCUAUGGCACCGGAGACACGCGGUUUCGAAAAUAAAAAGUACAUCCACGACAACAUAACUCAUUUUAAAAGGUUUUUGUUACAAUGAAGUAUAUUUCUCACCACAAUACAAUAUAAUAAACAAUAGAACCGAAAUUUUGUACCGAUUUAUAAUUAAAAGGAGUCUCAAUAUAUAAAUAUAUAUUUCGUCUCACCGUGUGGCAAGACUUUUUCCUAACUCAUAAUGGUUAGGGAGCUGCAUCAGCUUGGAGGCCAUGUGCACAAUAGCCGGGUAUUAUAUAUAAAUGACCUUUGCAUCCUCCCAUUUCCCACAACACAUUUCACAAACACUUCAAAACCCAACACCCCAAAUAAACACACAAAUCAAUGGAACGUUCAAUCCGAGCCAGUACUCCUCCUCUAACUCUCCUAGUUACAUUUUCCCUCUUGUUCAUAGCUGCCACCGCAGAGAACUGCGGGAGCCAAGCUGGGAACGCCGUGUGUCCGGGCGGCCUAUGCUGCAGCCGGUUCGGCUGGUGCGGCAACACUGCUGAUCACUGCACAAAUGGCUGCCAGAGCCAAUGUACUCCACCGGGUGGUGGACCCACACCGUCCGGAGGAAGUGAUGUGGGGUCCAUAAUCACGCCAGAAAUCUUCGAGGACAUGCUCAAGCACCGUAAUGACGGUGCUUGCGAGGCUAGAGGGUUCUACAACUAUAAUGCUUUCAUCGCCGCUGCUAGGUCCUUCAACGGAUUCGGCACCACCGGUGACCUCAACACCCGUAAGAAGGAGCUCGCCGCUUUCUUGGCCCAGACCUCCCACGAAACCACCGGCGGAUGGCCGACGGCGCCUGACGGCGAAUUUGCGUGGGGGUAUUGUUUCAUUAGGGAGACAAACCGCUUGACUUAUUGCUCAUCCAACGAAUGGCCUUGCCCUGCUGGCAGGCAAUACUACGGCAGAGGACCUAUCCAACUUACCCAGUAAGUAUAUUAUUUAUUUUAUUCUUUUUCCUUAAAAAAAUUGUUUUGGAGACAAAAAGAUAGAAAAAAACUAUCAAAAACAUUCUUAAAUAAUAUUUAAGAGCCUCACAAACCAAUAGAUCGCCUUUUAUCUAACUUCCGUACUUAUUAAACUUGAACUCAUGACAAAAACGAAAACAACUAAUAAAUCUCCCCAACAAUUUGCUUAGUGUCCUCUCCAAAAUACCCAAUAAAAAUCAACCCAAAACACCAAACAUAUACAACUCAACAGGCCGAUAAUUAUUAUAAAGAAUCUAUCAUUUAUUAAUUUAGGAAAUAAUUAAGUUGUUGCCUCGGAGGCUCAGACAUUUUAUUUUUUCAAACAGUUUAUACAUUUACUUAUGUAAAUAAAAGUGCAUCUGGAUUAAUAAUUCGUAAUCGGCAUGAAAAUGUAAUGCGUGAUGAUAGAGUGUGACAAAAAACAUUUAGUCAUUAAUUUAUUAUAUUCUAAUUGAUCUCAUAAUCGCUGACUAAUUACGUUGACUUUUCAUGGUCAGCAACUACAAUUACGGGCAAGCAGGCCGGGCAAUUUCACAGGAUCUGAUUAACAAUCCGGAUUUGGUGGCGACCAACGCUGAGAUAUCAUUCCGAACGGCGAUUUGGUUCUGGAUGACUCCUCAGUCCAACAAGCCGUCCAGCCACAGUGUGAUCGUCGGGCAGUGGAAUCCGUCAGCGGCCGACAGGGCAGCCAACAGAGUCUCAGGGUAUGGGGUCAUCACCAACAUUAUCAACGGCGGCCUGGAAUGUGGUCGUGGGGCCGACCCACGUGUCGCUAAUAGGAUUGGAUUUUACCAGAGGUACUGCACUAUUCUCGGAGUCAACCCUGGCGGCAACCUUGACUGCAACAAUCAAACCCCCUUCGCCUAAUUAGGAUCUCACGAGUAACAAUAAUCAGCAUGGCGUUUCGUUACUGUCCCUCUCAUAUUUUAAUAAUUAUUCAAUAAAUAGAUGUGCUGUAAAAAUAAAGGAAAUACAUAUAUGAGUCGUUUUUAACUUUUUUUUUUUUAUCAACACACGUAACGUGUACGUCCAAGAAGAAGAGAUAAAGUGGCAUCCAUAUUGUAUUCAAUGUAUAUGCAUGUAUAUAUACGUAAGCCGGAAGCACAUUUGCAAACAUAUUUGUCUUCAACUCGACCGAAUUCCCCAUGCAUGCAGCUCUUAUCUACAGCUCCUACAGAUGCAUAAGUUCAAUGGAUAUAGCUAGCAAAUUACGACUUUCCAAUUCUCAACAAGUGCAUGAUGGAAAGGUACGUUCAUCUAGAAAAGGAUAUAAUGGAAUGAGAAGACGUUCUAGGCAAUUGUCAAGUUUGGUCCCAAACCGGCCCUAGCGGCCAACGUAAACGCCAACCAUCAAAACCAUCCUUGCUCUGCCAUGGCUCAGAGUAGCCGCCGGUUGUCGCCAAAUAUGGUGGAAACCAAAAAGCUCAAAUUUUAUCUAUAUAUUUAUUUGCUUCUCAAAUUAACAUUUUUUUUGUCCGUUACAAUAUCAAGUAUGAGGAAAUUAUUUUCAUCCAUAAAAUAUAUCAAGAAUGGUUUUAUUGGAAAGGGAGAUGAAUGGUUGAGUGAUGUGCUAAUGACAUACAUAUAGAAUAAUAUUUGUGUGUUAGUUUGAACAUUAAAUGUGUUGUACAAUACUUUUAGAUAAAAUCACAUCCUGAUUUGUUGUAGACUAUAUAUUUUGAAUUGUUAUUUUAUAAUCGUACGAAACAUUAGUAUUAUAAUGUUGACUUUUUUUUUUUUUUAUAGGUUUUUAUUUUUUUUNNNNNNNNNNNNNNNNNNNNNNNNNNNNNNNNNNNNNNNNNNNNNNNNNNNNNNNNNNNNNNNNNNNNNNNNNNNNNNNNNNNNNNNNNNNNNNNNNNNNNNNNNNNNNNNNNNNNNNNNNNNNNNNNNNNNNNNNNNNNNNNNNNNNNNNNNNNNNNNNNNNNNNNNNNNNNNNNNNNNNNNNNNNNNNNNNNNNNNNNNNNNNNNNNNNNNNNNNNNNNNNNNNNNNNNNNNNNNNNNNNNNNNNNNNNNNNNNNNNNNNNNNNNNNNNNNNNNNNNNNNNNNNNNNNNNNNNNNNNNNNNNNNNNNNNNNNNNNNNNNNNNNNNNNNNNNNNNNNNNNNNNNNNNNNNNNNNNNNNNNNNNNNNNNNNNNNNNNNNNNNNNNNNNNNNNNNNNNNNNNNNNNNNNNNNNNNNNNNNNNNNNNNNNNNNNNNNNNNNNNNNNNNNNNNNNNNNNNNNNNNNNNNNNNNNNNNNNNNNNNNNNNNNNNNNNNNNNNNNNNNNNNNNNNNNNNNNNNNNNNNNNNNNNNNNNNNNNNNNNNNNNNNNNNNNNNNNNNNNNNNNNNNNNNNNNNNNNNNNNNNNNNNNNNNNNNNNNNNNNNNNNNNNNNNNNNNNNNNNNNNNNNNNNNNNNNNNNNNNNNNNNNNNNNNNNNNNNNNNNNNNNNNNNNNNNGGAUUCGGCACCACCGGUGACCUCAACACCCGUAAGCAGGAGCUCGCCGCUUUCUUGGCCCAGACCUCCCACGAAACCACCGGCGGAUGGCCGACGGCGCCUGACGGCGAAUUUGCGUGGGGGUACUGUUUCAUUAGAGAGAGAAACCGGUUAACUUAUUGUUCAUCCAACCAGUGGCCCUGCCCUGCUGGCAGGCAAUUCUACGGCAGAGGACCAAUCCAGCUAACCCAGUAAGUAUUAUUUAUUAAUUAAGGGAGAAGUAUGAUUAAUAUCAAUUAUUCACGCACAUUCAUUUUUAUUCUCGUAAAUAAUUAAGUUAACUUUGUAUGGUCAGCAACUACAACUACGGGCAAGCGGGCAGGGCAAUUGGGCAGGACCUGAUUAACAACCCGGAUUUGGUGGCCACCAACGCCGAGAUAUCAUUUCGAACGGCGAUUUGGUUCUGGAUGACUCCUCAGUCCAACAAGCCGUCCAUCCAUAGCGUGAUUGUCGGGCAGUGGAAUCCGUCGGCGACCCACAGGGCGGCCAACAGAGUUCCCGGGUACGGGGUCAUCACCAACAUUAUCAACGGCGGUCUGGAAUGUGGUCGCGGGGCCGACCCACGUGUGGCUAAUAGGAUUGGGUUCUACCAGAGGUACUGCUCCAUUCUCGGAGUCAACCCUGGCGGCAACCUUGACUGCAACAAUCAAACCCCCUUUGCCUAAGGGUUAAGAAUAGUUGGCAUCGUCUCGAUACUAUAUUUUAAUACUUACCAAUAAAUAGAGGUGGCCACUAGCGUACUGUAAAAAUAAAAGGAAAUACGUAAGGGGAAAUUUGCAAUUGAAGCAGCUCAAUUGUAACUAUUAAAUAAAUAAUAAUAUAAUAAAAACGGAUAUUUGAUGAA